RNAcentral lists this long non-coding RNA (81723 nucleotides) under Gossypium barbadense (sea-island cotton). RNAcentral's name for it is "long non-coding RNA (GBAR_LNC021329)". Lineage: Eukaryota; Viridiplantae; Streptophyta; Magnoliopsida; Malvales; Malvaceae. The record is from RNAcentral.
UCUAUUUUAUUCAAUAUUUUCAAUAUUCAUCACAUGUUUCUUUCAAAAAAAAAAAAAUCGUUCACAUGUUGAUUUUUCGUACAUGUAGCUUACUGCAGCAUGUAAGAAAACAAAGAAACAAUGGAAGCCCCAACCAAUGAUCCAAGAACAGGCAAGGUAGCGGCAGCCAUGCUGGAAUCCGGUCCUGAUGCUGGAGCGGAACCAGGAGAGGAGCUAGGACUAGAACCACCGGCUGAAGGGGCAGGAGAUGGUGCACCGGCAGCCAUGACGGCGCUCAUUGAGGCGGCAGCAACAAUGAUGGCGGUGGAGACCUUCUUCAUGUCCAUGGCGUAUAAAGUGAUUAUUAAACGCACAGGAAAUGAGAGGGACCUGCGUUUAAUUACCGGUGAAUGGGGAUCCGCCGAUGAUUGUUAUUAUUUGCUUUGUUAUUGCAGGUCUGAAGAACAAUGAUGGUGGGGAGGAUCAUUUAUAGGUGAAAAUUCAUGGCUAUUUUUAGUGACGAAAUUUUUUUAAAAAAAUUACGUGUUCGGUUUUCGCAUGGUUUGCGGGAUAGACAUGCAAUUUUUUUAAAUAUUUUUUUAACGAUUUUGACUGGUUUUUAGAUAAGGAGAUUUUUGAUAAAUUAUAAUAAGAAGGGAAUUUUUUUUUUGGUAACAAGAAAAGGAUUAAAAAAUUAACAAGAAAUAUAUAACGGGAUUCGAACACACAAACAUGCUAUCCAUCCUUACAAGAUGACUGACUAAAGAAGGGGCACUAUGAAAUAUCUGUGUGCCAACCGGUGCUUCCUUCAUCAUAUCAGCCAACGAGUGUGCUAUAGAGUUAACUUCUCUUGGAAUCUAUUUGAAGACAACAUUUAAAUCACAACUUAUUAACUCUCGAAUUAUAAGAACCAAAUCUCUCUGAACACACCCUCUCAAUUCGCCAAUAAUUCCUUUAAAGGCAAGUACACAAUCUAUUUCCACUAAGAUAUCUCGUCAUUGGGCAUCCCAUGCCAUAAUAAGCCCAUUAUAGAUCGCCUAAAGCUCCGCUUGCUCCACACCACACCUACCAAUAUUUCUACUUACUCCAUGAGUCCAAUUGCCAAAUUCAUCUCUCACCACUGCUGCCGAAGCUGCCAAACUCAAUACUGGAUCAUGGGCCCUAUCAGUAUUCAAUUUAAUGGUACCCGUCGGAAGAGGGAUCCAUCGGGUACACCUAGUUUGUCUUCUGGAACAAUCAUCCGGUCUUCCAGCUGUGCACUUAGAGCAUUAACCUAAUUCCAUGAAGAGUGAAAGAUAAAAUCUUUACUGAACGGAACAUCCUGGAACACAUACAAACAUCUAUGUUUCCAAAUCUUCCAACAGAGCAUACCAAACAGAGACCUUCAAUCAAGUUCAUGAAAAACUAAGCCAAAUACAUUCCUCAACUUAACCCUUAGCCAGUCUUUCGCGAGUAAGAGAAGAAACGAUGCAAUAAUCUCGGAGGAAUAACCUGCUCCCAAAUAUCUCUUACCUUACAACAAUCCUUUAAGGAAUGAAUAAUAGAUUCAUUUUUACAUCUGCAAAACUUACAAGAAGAAGAAUCUGACAUACCUCUUCUACAAUGUUCCACAUUAGUUAAUAAGCGUUCCUUGAAAACCAUCCAAAGAAAUUGUCUUACACGUUGUGGCCUUGCAAAAGACCAGACGAUUUUCCAACUAUCUUACGAAGGAUUCAAGGCAUCUUUAUUGAGAAAAUUAUAGGUAGACUUAACUGAUAAACUCCCAUUAAAAUAUCAUUGUGAUAUCAUUGAAUCGGGACCAACUAGGCAAUUAGGAACUGGAAUACCUGCAAUGUAAGAUAAAAUAAUAUCAUCUAAGAAACAUCUUAGGUACUACCGGUUCCAAUCCUCGUCCAUCGACACCAUUCCCCUAAGAGAAAUGGAUUCAUUAAUAAGCGAGAUGUUAUGGCAAAAAUUAAUCAAAGGUCCAACCUUAAUGACCCAAUUAUCGGUCCAAAAUUUGAUACGAUUACAAUCACCCGCAAACCAUGCAACACAUUUGCGCAAAAGUGGCCAAAUCUUUGCAAGUGAUCUCCAAAGAAAGGAACAACAAUUCUUUGUAAUGUCAACCAGGAAAUCAUCAACUAUUUUGUAUUUAGCUCUCAGGAAAAUAACCCAUAAAGCUUUUUUAUUUGUGAGGAAAUUAAACCCCAACUUGAGUAGAAAAGAGUCGUUCUGGACUGUAAACCUCCUGAUACCUAAACCUCCAUUAGAAAGUGGUUGGCAACAAUCAUUCCACCUAACUAAAGAAGGCUGCUGAUUUGUAUUGGAACUCCCCCAAAUAAAACCUUGAGCUAUAUUUUCAAUCUCAUUACAGACAGAAAUAGGAAUCUUAACAGAUUGCAUGAAGUAGUUAGGGAUUGAUAGCAAGACUGAUCGUGCCAAAAUGACUCGACCAACCAUUGAAAGUGGCUUAGCAUCCCAACUAUCCAACUUCCUCCAGAUCUUGUCAAUAACAAAAUGGAAAGUGCUCAUUGUAACUCGUCGAUGAAAUAACGGUACACCCAAAUAAAAAUCCAAAUCAUCAGUCAUGCUAAAUCCCAAUGUACUACAAAUUUAGCAGAAACAUUAACCUCAAUAAUCUUUGAAAAGAAAAUGUUAGUUUUUGGCCCAUUGACUUUAUGCCCCGACGCUGCUCCAAAAAUCCUUAGAACGUUCCGAAUUCUUAUAGCUUGAUUCAUAUAUGUGACACUGGCGGCCCAUUUUUACCAACUGAAAAAGUUUCCACGUCUUAUCCUCAACCUCUUUAUGAGUAAGCUGUCCCAGUCUCUCCAUACAUAGAAUGAAAAUAUAAGGAGAUAAUGGGCAUCCCUGCCGGAUACUUCUCGUUGGUUGGAAUCAGGGAUUCAAAUAACGGAACGUUUUUAGAAUAACGGCGUUAUAUAGCGGUAGCGCCGCCGACCGAAACCGCUAUUGCUGAAAAUAACGGAGGGAAGCGGAUUCACACCGAUAACGGUGGAUAGCGGCCGCAAUUUAACGGAUAACGGACAAUUGCGGCAAUAACGGGCCUCUAUUCCCGUUAUUUUCCGUUUCCGUAAAUUAAAAAAAAAUCAAGUGCUGUAGAUGGACAUGGAUGGUGAUUCUGGUGAAUGAAAUAUUGAAGUGAAUAGUGAAAAGUGAAAAGUGAGAAGAAAGACUGAAUAAUUGUACUUCAUAAUAAAACAAAAGACAAGGGAAUAUAUUCCCUCCCAACCUGCAAUCAAAACAAAGUAAAGUAAAAGACUGAAUCUGAAAGUCGAUUAAAAAAAUCAAAACUCACUCACACAACACAAUACAAGGCAGUACUCAGUAAGUCAGACUCACAAACUCACAUUUCACAGAAUCACAAGCAAACGAAAAGGCAAAAUAUAUUUCUUCAUUCUCCAUAUUUCGGCAAGGCAAAAAACACAGCCACAGGGCACAGGCAGCAAGCAAAGCAAUAGAUCAAGUAAGUAGAGAAAACUAACCCAGUAAAGUACUUGCAUGUCUUGAAUCUGCAACAUAGAGUGAUUUUUUGAUAUUUUUAUCCCUAGAUCUAUAUUCUACACAAAAAAAGGGGGGGUUAAAAUGUUUUCGGCGAUUUCCGACCACCGUGCACGGCGGCGCCGUCGCCGGUGAUCGGCGGCUGCCCCAGUGGCCGAUGGCCGGAUUCUGGGCAACGGCAGAGAAGAAAGAUAAUUGAGAGAAAAAGGCAAAAAAAUUAUUUGAAGAAUCGCUGAAAUGAAGAUUCUGAAAAUUUUUUUCAUUUAAAUAGGCCUUCAAAACGACGCCGUUUUGGGCAGGCCACUCUGGCACCAAAACGACGCCGUUUCGGCCUAACCCGCGCACUUACUCGACCCGUUUACUAGGAUCCGCGUGUUUUUAACAGAAGGGUUAAUUGCGCUUUUAGCCCUUCCUAUUUUUUAUUAUUUACAAUCAAGCUUAUUUCUUUUUUAAUUUUGUCCUAUAAUUUAUUUCGUAUUUCAAUUUGGUCCACCUUGAAGCUGUGCGUUUUGAAGGAUGGGGAUUAUUUCCCAUUUGAUCCAUUUUUGUUAUUUGUGCAUUCAAUUUGGUCCUUUUUCUUUUUAUUUAUUUCGGAUUUGCCGCAAAUUUAUGUUUUAAGUUCGAUUUAGUCCCUUUUUGUUAUUUUUGCUAUUUUAUUAUUAAAUUAAUUAAUUUAAUAUUACUAUUACUAUUAUUAUUUUUCCUUUUUUAUUUUAUUAUUUAUUUACUUGUUAUUAUUACCAUAUUAUUAAAAUUUAAUUAGUUUUGCAUUAUUAUUUCAAUUAUAUUUCUUUUCAUAUUUAUUUACCUAAAUAUUUUAAAUACAUUUAUUUUAUUAUAUCAUUUUAUUUAUCUAUAUAGUAUAUCCUUUCAUAUAAUUUUUAAUUUUAAGAUUUUUAUUAUUGUUAUUAUUAUUAUUAAUACCAUCAUCAUCAUCAUCAUCAUGAUUAUUAUUAUUAUUAUUAUUAUUAUUAUUUAUUACCAUUAUUAUUAUUAUUAAUAAAAUUUUUUACACAAUAUUUAUUUAUUUAUUUCUAUAAUAUUAGGUCUUUACUUUAGCUUUAAAUUUUGUUUACUUUUUUUGGUAUUAUAUUGUUGUUAAUAUAACUAUAUAAGUAAUGAGUUGCUUAUAUUUCUAAAUAUAAUUUUAUGUUUCUUAUAUAAAUAAAAAUAAAGCAUGCCACCACGUGAAGAGUUCCCGACUAAAGGAUUGGAGGGUGCACCAAGUAAUGAUAUAGGUUGGCACUUUGGAACUCUAGUGCCAAAUGCGAGAGGAAGUAUCGUAUGUAAACUUUGUGGUAAAGUUGUGAAAGGAGGAAUAACACGAUUUAAAGAGCACAUUGCUCAUAAAACCGGCAAUGUUGCACCAUGCCCUAAUGUUACUGGUAUGUGAUACUUUAUUAUUAUUAUUAAAUGUUAUUGUAAAUUUAUCAAUAAAGAUUAUAUAUAAUUGAUAAUAAUAUAAAGUGUGAAUUAUUUUUAUUUUAUUAACAGGUGUCAUUAGAGAAAGUAUGAUGAAUGUACUAAAAGAAAGCAACACAAAGAAAAUAGACAAAAAGAGGAGAAAAGAUGAAUUCUUAUCUCAAUUAACAGAAGAGGAGGAUGAGCAUGAGGGAUUCAUUGAUGAGGUUUCUGCUAUAAGGCAAGCAACUCGAGAAAGUAUCCAAUCACAACACGAGUGGUAUAGAAGGGAAGAAUUCAGACGAAGUACUGGUGGUUGGGAUAACAUUUAUGAAGAAGGGCGAUCUUCUCAUGGAUCAGCUAGAGAACAUAAUAGAGAAAGAACAAGUAAAUCUAUUCCAGGUGAGUUUGAGUUUACCUUAAGGGGAGCUAUACCUGAAUUGGUUAGAAGCAAAAGUUCAAAGCAACCAAAGGUCAAUGACUCUUUUUUAAAGAGUUUUCGAAGGAAGAUAGGUGAAGCGGUAUCUAAAUUUAUAAUAUAUGAAAGACUUCCUUUUCAAUUAGCAAGCUCUCCAUGGUUGUAUAACUUAAUUCAAGUGGCAACAGAAGUUGGACAAGGUGUAAAGCUCCCAACACCUUAUGAGGUUUCAGAUGUGUAUUUGGAGUCAGAGUAUCAACGAGUUCAUGAUUGGGUAAAUGUACUAAAGACUCAUUGGAAAGAAUUGGGUGCAACUCUAAUGUGUGAUGGUUGGACCAACAGUUUGAAUCAAAUGCACAUCAUUAAUUUCCUUGUUUAUUGCAGUAAAGGAACCAUUUUUUGGAAAUCGGUAGAUGUCUCAAGUGUCCGUAGUAGAGAUGCUGAAUUCUACUACCGUUUAUUAGAUUCAGUUGUAGAAGAAAUUGGAGAAAAUUACAUUGUCCAAAUAGUGACUGAUAAUGAGGCAGCAAUGAAAGCUGCUGGAAAAAAGUUAAUGUUGAAAAGACAACAUCUAUAUUGGACCUCAUGUGCAGCUCACUGUUUAGAUUUAUGCCUUGAAGAUAUUGGGAAAAAGCCCAGUGUAGCAAAAGUGUUAGAUGAGGCAAAGAAAGUGACUUGCUUUAUAUACAAUCACAUUUGGACUGUUGAUUUGAUGAAGAAGUAUACACAAGGGAAACAAAUACUUCGACCCGCUCUUACUCGAUUUGCAACUCAUUUCAUUCAACUUGAAGAGAUAACAAGACAAAAGCAAGGUUUGAGAGAAAUGUUUAAUUCAAAGGUCAGUAUUUUAUAAUUAGUUAAUAUAAUUACUUAAAUAUAGUAAUCUUUAGUGAUUUUAUUAGUUCCAAAUAAUUUAAAUUAUAUUAUUUUAAAAUUUUUCUUAUGAAUAUAUAGGAAUUUAAAGAAUCAAAAUGGGGAAAGCAAAAGUCAGGGCCUGCUUAUGAAGCCAAAAAUAUUGUUUUGGGAAAAGAUUUUUGGAAAAAAGCCAAUGACCUCAUAAAAGUUUAUGAGCCCUUAGUAAGAGUAUUGAGACUUGUGGAUAGUGAUGAAAAACCAACGAUGGGCUUUAUUUAUGAGGCUAUUGAUAGGGCUAAACGAGCAAUUCAACAAAAUUGUCGAUAUUUCACAGAGUAUGAAAAGAUUAUUGACAAUAGAUGGAAUUUUAUGCAUUCCGACUUGCAUUAAGCUGGUAAGAUAAAAUAUUUCAUAUAAUUAAGAACUAUUUUUAUAUUUUAUUAUUUUAAGCUUUAGAUUAUUAUUAUUUGAUGAUAUUCUUAUAAAUUAUACUUAGGUUAUUUUCUCAACCCUCAAUUUCAAUUUGGGGUGGAGCAUUCUGAGAAUGUAUUAAUAGAAACAUUAGAAGGUACACGAUCAGUAAUUGAAAGAUUAGAACCUUCUAUGGAUACUCAAGUCAGAAUGGUUAAUCAGGUUAGAUUCAACUACUAUUAUUUGUAACUUAGUUAAAUAAUUUGAAAUAGAAUUUUUAUUUUUAUUUUUACUCUAUCUUUUAUUUAUGCAGUUGUUAUUAUUUAGAGAUAAACAUGAGACAUUCGGUACUCCACAAGCACAAAGAGCUUGGAAGCAAAUGAAUCCGGGUAAACAGUUAAUUAAAUUAUUUAAUUUAAUUUAUAUUAUUUAAUUAUAUUGUACAUUUUAAAGUUAUUUUGAAAUUUAAAUAAUAUUAUGCAGCUGAGUGGUGGAUGAUAUAUGGCACAUGUGUUCCCGAAUUACAAAAAUUAGCAAUUAAAGUGCUUAGUCAAACAACUUCAGCAUCAAAUUGCGAACGAAAUUGGAGCACAUUUAGUUAUAUUCACACCAAGGCAAGAAAUAGGUUAAAGUAUAAAAAACUUGAAAAACUAGUGUUUACCUAUUAUAAUAUGAGGCUUAAGAUGAGGCAUCAACAAAGAAUGAGCACUGAUGAUAUAAAUGUUAGUUUUAAUCCUAUCAGCCUUGAUUAUAUCUUUGAAGAUGUUGAUCCACUAUCAGAAUGGCUUCAUGAGAAAGAGAAUCCAUUGUUAGAUGGUGAAAAUGCCGGUGUGUUGCCUGUGGAUACCUCUGAUGAUGAAAUGGAUGUUGAUCAAUCGCAACAACAAAUUUUGUCUCAUUCAAGUUCUAGUUCAACUCCAAGUCAGAGUGGCGAUGGACCCGAUGGUGGUGGUUUAAGUCCAAUUGAUGAGGAUGACGGAUAUAGUGGUGAUAGAGGUGAAAUUAGGUCUUCUAGUCAGUAUGGAGGAGAAUAUGGGGGUGGUACCACUGGUGGACAUUUUCGUGACAGAUCAGAGUUUGAUGGAAAUAUGUUUCCUGAACCUAGGAGAGAUAGAAGUGAACCUAGAGCUCCAUCAAAGGGAAAAGGCAAGAAGCAUACUUCUAUAGGCUCUUCAUCUGGUAGUGGUAGGAGAUCGAGUUCUAGUAACCUUGGGUAUAGUGAUUCAUCUACUAGCACUCAAGGUUUUUAUCCACCAGAACAACCUUCACAUGGUUAUCCACAACCAUAUGGUUAUUAUCCACCAUUUCCUAAUUAUGGUGUGCCAUACCAGCCUCAAAUGUAUCCUCCUCCACCAAUGUAUCACCCACCUCCACCUUUCAUGUAUCCUCCUCCUCAAAUAUAUCCUCCAUAUCAAUUGAAUGAAAACCAAGGUGAAAAUGUUGCUUUUUUUGGAUAUAUUUUUGGACAAAGGCCAAGAGAAUCAAGUCAAGAACGCUCCCAAAGUGAAGGUGAAGGAUUUGAUCUUCCUCGUCAUUCCACUAAUUGGUGAAAACUAAAUCGUGCCACUAUCAUUAUUUGUAAGGUAUGUUUUUUUUAAAGAAAUCCUUUGUUAUUGUUCUUAAUUUUGAUGAUAUUAAAACAUUUAAAAUAAUAUAUAUCUUUAGAUAAAUGAAUGAAGUAUAUUUCAUGAAAAGAUAAUGAAGAAUCGAAGCAUGUUAAAUUAUAUAUGAAAGUAGAAUGAGAUGAGAAUAAGUGGUAGGAAAUAGGAAUAAUUAAUAAGAAUCUAUUCAUUAAUUUAUCUAUUCCUUUUUUCCUUUUGCAGCGUAUUUAUAUCUUCACUAUCUUCAAAGCUGUCAAGAAAUAUUGAAGACAUCUCUCAUGUAUGAAUUCUCAAUUCUUUUAUUUAUAAAAACUUUUAAACUUAUUAAAUAUGAUAAAUGUUUAAUAUUUCUUUUUUUUUACUUUGUUAUUAGUUAAUAUAACAUUCUUAGAAAAUUCGUAAAUAAAUAUAAGAAUAAUUAAUGAUUAUAAAAGUUGUGUUCUCAUGUCAUAUUAAUAAAGGUUCAUAAGUGUUAGAAAACACUCUAAAAAUCAUUAAAAGUGACUUUUUAUAAUUAUAAUUAUAAUUACUAUGUUUUACAGUAAGUUGUGCGAAUUUGAAAAAAAUUCACGACCGCGAUACCCGCAGUGACCGCAAUAGCGUCCAUUAUGUCCACGACCGCGACAAACGCGACGCGACCGAAAACACGACCGCGACCGCAAUUUAAAUCCCUGGUUGGAAUUCCUCCGUAGUAUUACCAUUCCACAUGAUCUGCAUAGACACAGUAGAAACACAGUUCAUAAUAACAUUUGAUAAGGACGAAGGAAUACCUGUAUCCAAUAAAGUGUUUGCAAUAAAGUCCCACCGAAUCCUGUCAUAGGCUUUCUCGAAAUCCACCUUAAUAGCCAUCCAACUCUUCUUGCCUUUCUUAGUUCGUAUAGAGUGAACUAUCUCUUGGGCAAUGAUAAUGUUGUCAGUUAUCUAUCUUCCUGCAACAAAACUUACUUGAUUCUGAGCAAUGAGAAGAGGGAAAACAAGUUUGAAUCAAUUGGCUAUUACCUUUGUUACAAUCUUAUACUAGACAUUACAGAGGCUAAUUGGCCGGUAUUGGGAUAAGGACUCCGGAUUAUAAGUUUUCGGAAUAAGGACCAACAAUGUCUUGUCUAUCGAAUGAUCGAGAGGAGACCCUGAGAACUCACUUCGAACCCAACUGCAAACAUAAAAACCAACAAUACUCCAUUGACUCUAAUAGAAUAACGCAUGAAGCUUAUUCGGUCCCGAGGCAUUCAAGGGACCCAUGCUAAAAAGAGCAUUGCAAAUUUCCUCAUCUGACACAUCCAUAGUCAAUGAAUCAAUAGAAUUUUGCACCAACUUUGAAAACCGACCCCGCAACGGAAACAAGAAAUGAGCUUGAUCAUCCAACGAGUAAAGAGAUGAAGAAUAACGAAUUGCUUCCUCCUACAAGAUCACAUCAUCAUAACACCAAGAGUCUCCCACUUUCAAAGUUAAAAUCUUAUUGAAAUUACGCAUUCGGAUCGUUUUAUUAUGGAAAUAUUUAGUGUUGCGAUCACCAAACUAGGCCUAAUCCACUCUCGACUUUUGUCUCCUUAGGCUUUCUUCUUCAUCCAAGACCGUUUCAUACUCAAUCCACAAGUCGUGUUCCCGAUUCAAAAAGAAAAUAGAAGACCUCCUAUCUGGAGCAGCUUGAACCUUAGCAAUACGAUUAGCUAGAAGCCUUUUCCUAUGACCAAUGUGACCAUAAAUCUCAAAGUUCCACUUUCUGAAAACCUCCAUCAAAGAGGCAAGAUUGUGUGCAAUAUUUGGCCCAAACCUCCAUUUUUCUCGAACAAGUUGAUCAAAAUUCGGAUUAUUAAUCCAAGAAGCCAAGAAAUGGAAUGGCCUUACACAACGAACAGAACUAGGAUUAGUCAUAGAAAUGGGAAUAGGCCUAUGAUCUGACUUCAGCCGUGGAAGGUGAAACACCAAGGCAUCAGAAAAGGUAUGACACCACUCACCAUUACCAAUGGCUCGAUCCAAUCGAAUAUGUUUUAAUAUUGAAUGAUAAUGAAUUUUUAUUUAAAUUUAAUUAAAUUAUUUGAAUAUGUUUUAUUUUUUUCAUUAUUAUUUUUAAAAUUGUAAAAUUUGAUUUAGACGGAUAUGAUUUUUUUUUUACGAAACGGGUUGUGAGGUGGAAUUAAUGUGUAUUAAUUCCAUAGAUUUUAUAUUUAUUUAUUUUGAAUGGAUAUUUUUUAAUUAAAACCUAAAGUAAAGUGAGACGAUUCUAAUCAUUUAUAUGUAAAUAUUAUAUAAUAAGAUGUACUUAAAAAAUAUUAUGUACUAUGAUAAAUGUAGAUUUAUUCAUGGAUCGGACUAUUCGGCCCGGUCUAAAGGGCCACCUAAAAAUUGGAAAGAUUUGGAUAAAAAUAUAAAUUCAAAAAAUGGGCUUAGUAAAAAUAUAUAUAUAUUGUAGAAGCCCAAAUUUGCCCGGGCCCUAACAGCAAAACAAAUUUCAGCCCAAAUGGCCCAGUUACAUUAUAAAAUUAAUUGGACCAGCCCAAACACCAACCCACAAGCCCAAUUACAACCCAAACCCGAGGCCCAAAUCUGGAGCCCAAUUCCCCCCAAAAACCCAACUAGGGUUUCAGAAAAAUGAAACCCUAGCCAAACCUAGCGCCGCAUCCAUCCCUCUGUCGUUCGCCUUGUCCCAUCGCCACCUACCGUGCCUAGCUUCAUCAACACCUGCAAAAUGGCAGAAAAAGCCGGAGCACGCAACAGAUAGUGCAAAAACAAUAGAAUACAACCAGAAAAAAAUACAAUGUAAAUUGGCUAUAAAAGCCAAACAAUAUCUCUGUACAAGGUUUUUUUUUUAGACAGCGUUUUUGAAUCCAAAAAAAAAAGAAAAACAGAUCAAAAGGUUGACUCCAAUUUAUUCUUCUCUGUUCUUGUUUCUUAUUUACUUUACUCUUUAUUUAUUGUUUAUUUUUUUCGCAUUCGUUCAACAAAGAAAAAGGAAUUGAAAGGGAGAGGAGAAAAUACCUUACCGCUUCGACGGGCUGGUGUCGGAACCCCACCCUUGCCGUCGUCGGAUUCGAGCCGAAAGGGGCGUCUCAUCCCUUUUCCUUUUGGUCUUGCGGUUGAGAAGGCUUAGCCUUCGGGGACGCCGCAAAAAUGGGAGGCUUAGGGGCCUUUCUCGCGCAACUCCGGCCAUUGGCCAUGGAGGCGGAGAUGGCGGCCUGAGCUUAAAGGGCCGAGAGAGAUGUAGGGAGGAGAGCACUCGGGCUCUCAGUUUUCCUUUUUUUUUGUUUUUUUUUUAUUUUUUGAUUGUUUAGAAAAUGAAAUGGAGGCUGCCAGAUUAGGGUUCUUUUUGGCCCUUGCUUGAUGUGUGAAACGACGCCGUUUGGAGUCUGAUCAGUGGCUCCAAAACGGCGUCGUAUUGAGCUCUGACCCGCGCGGUGACCCGACCUAGGGGAAGGAUCCGCGUGUUUUCUUUAAAUGGGAUAUUUGCGCGCGUAGUCCCUCCGACUUUGUAGCGCGUUGCAAUCUGGUCCUAUUUCGCUAUUUCCUAUUUUUCAAUGUAGCCCCAGAAUUCUAUUUUUGUUCUAAUUUGACCCUCUACUGCACUGUGUUUUGGGGCUUCGGGGUAUUUACCAUUUUGGUCCCCCUUUUUUUGCGCAUAUUACAUUUUGAUCCUUUAUUCUGUUUUAUUUUUUAUUUCAGCCCUGAGAUUUCGUUCACGUUUUGAAUUAGUCCUAUUAUUAUUAUUACUAUUAUUAUUAUUACCUAUUUAUUUAUAUUGAUUUUAUUUAAACUUCUGGUACAUAUAUAUAUAUUUAUAUAUUUUACAACUUAUGUACCUAUAUAUAUAUCUAUAUACAUAUUUUCAUUUUCAUAAAUACAUACAUAUUUAUAUAUAAUCUUUAUAGUCUAAAAUACACCUUUUUUAUAUUUUUUUUAAAUCCGCAUAUACAUACACAUUUUCAAUAUAUGUUUAGUAUGUAUAUAAAUUAACGUAUUUAUUUGUAUACAUAUGUAUAUUUUCAUUAGUUUUAAACUUUAGUUUGUACAUAUAUACUUUUUCUUUUAUUUUACAAUAUAUAUACACUUACUUUUUAUAUGUAUUCCUUUAUCUUCGUAUUCCAUAGUUUUAUACACCUAUAUGUACAUAUUUUUAUAUAUACGCAUAUUUAUUUAUCUUAUAUAAAAUAUACCUUAUAUGUUUUGUUAAUUCACGUAUACACAUAUUUUUGUUCAUGUCUAUAUAUAUCUUUUUAUACUUAAUUGUAUUUGCUAUUUAUUUAUUUCAUUUUUGUUAUUAUUUUGAAUGAAUGAUUUAACUUUAUUCGUUCUUUAUUUUGUUAUUUUGUAUGUUGUAAGCUUGAUCGUUCAUAUUGAUUGCUAUAGCUUGCAUCGUUUUUAUAUUUUCAUGUUCAUUAUGAUUUUGCCAUGCAUAAAUAAUGUAAUUUGCUUUCACUAUAAUUUUGUGCUUUAUUUUUACUCGAUAUAACAAAAUUUAUUUUUUUUUAAAAUGGCAUUUCGUGUUUGGAUUCGAGAAAAUCGUGCCCUAACUUACUGGGUUUCGAUUUUCUCGAUAAAUCUAAAUGUACGAAUCUUUUUAAACUCAAAUUUUAGAUGACCUCGGGAUUAAAAAAUCACGUCCUAACUUACUGGUCGUGAUCUCAUUUUUAAAUCCGAGAUGGCUAAAAUAUCUUUUAAAUAAGCAUUUUUCAUUCGCGUAUCGAGAAUUUGAGAUAUUGUAUUCUAACUUACUGGAUAUGAUUCUCUUUCUCGAUUAACGUGAAAUAUAUUUCUUUUUCCAAAAAAUUUCAUUUUAAUACAAGGAUCGUAUUUUUAAUUCUUUCAAGUUCUCAAUUUUCGACAUCAAGACAUUAGAUAAUCAACUAGGUACCAAUUUCUGGGCGUUACGAGGGUGCUAAUCCUUCCUCGUACGUAACCGACUCCCGAACCCGUUUUCUAAAUUUCGUAGACCAAAACCGUUGUUUUAAUAAAAUCAAAUUAUUUAUUAAAAACAACCUUUUUCCAAGGUGACCCAAUCACACCUCAAAAAGGAUUGGUGGCGACUCCCUUUUUUAUUUUCAAAACCCAAGUCGACCCCGUUUUUCAAUCAAAAAAAUGGUGUCAACAUAUAUAUAUACGUUCUUAUGCAUUGGCAACAAUGUCUAUGACAAUUGAGCUAAGACUCAACCGACUAAUUCCAUAAAUUUUAUAUUUAUUAAUUUUGAAUAGAUAAUUUUCUAAACUAAAACCGUAAUGCUAAAGUAAAGCGAGAUGAUUCUGAUAAUUUAUAUGUAAAUAUUAUAGUUACAUGCAAAUAUUAUAUAAUAAGAUGUACUAAAAAAUAUUAUAUACCAUGAUAAAUGGUCGGUAAGUUGGAGAUGAAUAUAAGACUAUAAAGGUAAAAUUGUUAGUUAAGCUCCUAUACAUAGGGGAAGAUUGCAUUUCAACCCUUUUAUUGAAAAAAUGAGCAAACUAGUCUUUAUAUAUUUCGAAACAUACAAAUUAGCUUAUCCGUUUCUUUUUGUAUCAAGACUUAAUCAUAGACUGGGUCAUUCGGUCCAACUCAAAGGCAUGUCCAAAAAGUUCAGACUCUUCAGAAUUAAUAAAAGCACAAGUUAGAUAUAUGAUAAAGUUAUAAUUUAACCCCAAAAUUGUUAAAACUUCAAUUUAAUCAUUUUAAAUACCAUAAAAUAUAAUUAAAUAAGUAUUUUAACUCUCAUAAAAAAAAUUUUUAAUCUCGCCGUGCAUUUAUCUAAUUACAUACUAGUUAUUAGUUUGUUAUUUUCAUCUUAUUCAUUGCUAUUAGUUGAAUAAAUCGAAAAGUAAACGCAUAAACACAAAAUAUUAUUCAAAGCUCCAUUUUAUUCAAAUUUUUUCAGUAUUCAUCACAUGUUUCUUUCAAAAAGAAUAAAAUAAAACAUUCGUUCACAUGUUCAUUUUUCAUAUAUGUAGCUUAUUGUAGCAUGUAAGAAAACAAAGAAACAAUGGAGGCCCCAACCAAUGAUCCAAGAACAGGCAAGGUUGUGGCAGCCAUGCUGGAAUCCGGUCCUGAUGCUGGAGCGGAACCAGGAGAGGAGCUAGGACUAGAACCACCGGCUGAAGGGGCAGGAGAUGGAGCACCGGCAGCCAUGACGGCGCUCAUUGAGGCGGCAGCAACAAUGAUGGCGGUGGAGACCUUCUUCAUGUCCAUGGCGUAUAAAGUGAUUAUUAAACGCACUGGAAAUGAAUGAGACCUGCGUUUAAUUACAGGGAUCCGCCGGUGAUUGUUAUUAUUUGCUUUGUUAUAUCAGGUCUGAAGAACAAUGAUGGUGGGGAGGAUCUUUUAUAGGUGAAAAUUCAUGGCUAUUUUUAGUGGCGAAAUUUUUUUUUUAAAUUACGUGUUUGGUUCUCGCAUGGUUUGCGGGAUAGACAUGCAAAUUUUUUAAAUAUUUUUUAAACGAUUUUGACUGGAUUUUUUAGAUAGGGGGAUUUUAAUAUUUUUUUAAGAGAAAGAGAGUAGUAAAUUAACUGUAAUUACAUCAACAUCAUCUUGCAAAUUAUUUAGAAUGGAAGUAUCAAUUGUUGGGGAGAAAAAACAAAUUAAUGGAGACCCAAUUAUAGUCAAAUAUCAUUUCAGCUAAAGCAUUAGUCACUCCAUUAGAUUUCCUUAAAUAUGCUUGAUGUGAACCGCGCAAAGCUCUUUUAUUCUGCAUACUAGUUCCCUUUUCACUCACCAUUAAUUGCUUGAACUAUAGUUAAACAAUCACAUUCUAAAACAAUCAAUUUCCACCCUUUAGACCAAAGCAAUUUAAGUCCACCAUAGAUUGGCCAAGGUUCUGCUUGUUAAACACUACAUUUUCCAAUAUUAUGAUCAUAGCCAAAUAUCCAUCUACCAUGGUUGUCUCUAGCAAACUCAGCUGAGCAGGCAAGUUUGGUAUAAAGUUUCCCUACACCGUCUGUGUUCAUUUUGACGCAAUCAAUUAUUGGUUGCUGCCAGGUGUUUGGUUUGAUUCAAUUUUUAACCUUAAUCAUUGGUUCCCUAUUAUGUUUAACAUUCACAACCCAACUCCAAGCCGAUCUUACAAGCAUACUAGAAUUAUGAGGAACAUUUUCAAAAACAAAAGAAAUAUUCCUUUGUUUCCAUACAAACUAGCAUAGUAUACCUAACAGGUGAUUCAAUUAAAAUCUUUGAAAUGUAAAUUUAGUUUAUUAGAAAGGUUGAAAUUCACCCAAGAUAAAAGUGACGGACAUAAGAACUUGGAGUAAAAUGAAUUCGGAAUGAACUACAUCCAUACUUCCUCAGCUUUGGAACAAUCAUUAAGUAUAUGAAAAAAAUUUAUUCUACAAAUCCAAAAAUGCAGCAACUGGCGUCAUCCGUCAAUCCGCGUCUUUCCAUACUAAUAUAUUUUAAUAGUAAAAUAGACCACAAAAUUAACUUGAGUCAAUUUGAAGUUUUUUUAAAAAUUCAGAAAAUACAAUUAUAAAACAAUUAUAAAUAUAUGUCCAAUCAAUUAUAGUAUAGAAUUCAAUUAAUUACAACUAUAAAAUAAAUACAAAUAUAUUUAAACACCCUUUUGUCUUCAUUCCUAUCUUCACCCUCUUUAGUGGUAGGAGGCAAAAGGAGGGGGUUGAUAAGGGCUUUACACCCUCUCUUAAAUGGGUUUAGACUCUCCAAAAUUCAUAAAAACAUAAGUUAAAUAUAAGGUAAACUGUAAAAAUAAUCACUUUUGUUUGUAUUAGAUUAUAUUUUAGUCAUUUAUAUUUGAAAUGUUACGUUUUAGUCAUUUACAUUAUCAUUUUGUUACGAAGUAGUGACUCUGCCGUUCAGCUCCGUUACCUCCCUAAAGACAAUCCUAUGUGGGAUAGUCACUUUUGUUUGUCUUAUAAUACAUUUUAGUCACUUCUAUUUGAAAUGUUAUGUUUUAGUCACUUGUAUUAUCGUUUUGUUACGAAGUAGUCACCGUGUCAUUCAUCUCCGUUACCUUCCUAACAACAAUCCUAGAUGGCAGUCUAAAUUGGUUUUAAAUGCCAACUUGGAUGUCCAACUGGGAUGAGAAUAGUUUUUGUUAAGACGAACGGUUUUUGUUUUCCAAUUCAAGGUGUAAUUAAUUUAAAAUUUACAAUUAAUUAAAUUUAGUUAAUUAAAAACCUAUUCUCGUACCAAUUAGGCAUCCAAGUUGACAUUUAAAAUCGAUUUGGACUACCACUUAGGAUUGCCGUUAGAGUGACCACUUUCUAACAAACGAUAACGUAACAUUUCAAAUAUAAGUGACUAAAAUGUAACCUAAGGCAAAUAAAAGUGACUAUUUUUAUAAUUUACCCAGUCUAAAUUGGUUUUAAAUGCCAACUUGGAUGUCCAACUGGGAUGAGAAUAGUUUUUGUUAAGACGAACGGUUUUUGUUUUCCAAUUCAAGGUGUAAUUAAUUUAAAAUUUACAAUUAAUUAAAUUUAGUUAAUUAAAAACCUAUUCUCGUACCAAUUAGGCAUCCAAGUUGGCAUUUAAAAUCGAUUUGGACUACCACUUAGGAUUGCCGUUAGAGUGACCACUUUCUAACAAACGAUAACGUAACAUUUCAAAUAUAAGUGACUAAAAUGUAACCUAAGGCAAAUAAAAGUGACUAUUUUUAUAAUUUACCCUUAAAUAUAUGAUAAAUUAUAAGUUAACCCCAAAAUUGCUAAGUUUUCAAUUUAAUCAUUUUAAAUACCAUAAAAUAUAAUUAAAUACGUAUUUUAACUCUAAUAAAAUAUAUACUUUAACCUUUAUUUCCCUAAAAAAAAAAUUUCCAACUUCCCCCUGCAUUUAUCUAUUUACAUACCAUUUAUUAGUUCAAUAAUUCAUUGUUAUUUUCAUGUUAUUAGUUGAAUAAAUCGAAAAGUAAAAGCAUAAAAACAAAAUACUUUUCAAAGCUCCAUUUCAAUUUUUUCAAUAUUCAUCACAUGUUUCUUACAAAAAAUAAUAAAUAAAAUAAAAUAUUCGUUCACAUGUUCAUUUUUGAUACAUGUAGCUUACUGCAGCAUGUAAGAAAACAAAGAAACAAUGGAAGCCCCAACCAAUGAUCCAAGAACAGGCAAGGUUGCGGCAGCCACGCUGGAAUCUGGUGCUGAUGCUGUGACGGAAGCAGGAGAGGAGCUAGGACUAGAACCACCGGCGGAAGGGGAAGGAGCAGGUGCACCGGCAGCCAUGACGGCGCUCAUUGAGGCAGCAGCAACAAUGAUGGCGGUGGAGACCUUCUUCAUGUCCAUGGCGUAUAAAGGGAUUAUUAAACGCACCGGAAAUGAACGAGACCUGCGUUUAAUUGCUGGAGAAUGGGGAUCCGCCGGUGAUUGUUAUUAUUUGCUUUGUUAUUGCAGGUCUGAAGAAGAAUGGUGUUGGGGAGGAUUAUUUAUAGGUGAAAAUUCAUGGCUAUUUUUAGUGACGAAAUUUUAAAAAAAAAAUUUACGUGUUUGGUUUUUGCAUGGUUUGCGGGAUAGACAUGCAAAUUUUUGAAUUUGUUUUAGCGAUUUUGACUGGAUUUUAUGGUUAGGGGAUUUUAUUAUUAUUAUUUUUUGGUAAGAGAAAGAGGAGUAGUAAAUUACAGAAUAAUAAUUACCUCAAUCAAUAUCAUUUUGUAAAUUAUUCAGAAUGGAAAUAUCUAUUUGUUGAGGGAUAAAGAUCAAUAAAUUCAUGUUGAUCCAAUUGAUAGUUAAACAUCAUUAUCAAUACAGGAGGAUGUGAGUUCGAGCGGGUUUAUCCUUCUAUUGAAAAGCUUGGAUGAGUUAUGGGUAGUUCUAAGCAUUGUAUCAACUUAUACUUUCACGGUUGAAUUAGAUUAUAAAAAAAAGGUACUAAGUAAGCUCCUGUAUUUAGGGUGUAUUGCAUUUCAGCCCUUUUACUAAAAUAGUGGCUAAAUUAGCCUUUAUGUAUUUCGAAACGUACAAAUUGGAUCAUCCUUUAAAUUUUAUCUAUUAAAUGAUGAUGUGGAACGUUAAAUCUAUGCUGAAAAUUAUUUUUUUAUAGGUAAACUAUAAAAAUGAUCCGUUAACUAUGUCUUUCGUUGUAUUCUAUUUUGGUCACCCACUUAUUAUUUUUUGUUUUGUUCAUAUCAAAUUAAUUAAUUUUUUAUUUCUUGAUUCAACCUAAAACUAUAUGGUUCUACAUUUUAAAAACAUUGAUUAAUAAUGACUAAGAAUUUUUCAUAAAUAAGACAUAUAAAAUAAAUUUUUGAAAAUUUUAUAUUUACAAAGAUGAAAAUCAAUCAAAACAUAGGAAAAAAAAACCCAAUUUCUUGUUUAAAAAAUCCAAUAAAAAUUUUAAAUAUAUAUUUAGAGAAAUAUGUUUUUAUUUAAUUUUAAAUAAUUUUUUUACAGCUUUUGUCUUGUUAGCUAUUAUUAAAUAAUCGAAUCAAUUUACUAUUUAAUCAAUUCAACCAACCAAUCUAAUGAAAUUUGAAGAAUUUGGUUUCUCAAGGUGGAUAUACACUUCAGUUCAAUUACUAUUUAUCAAUUGGGUCCUUAUUGGCUAAAAAUGAAUUUCUUUUAUACAAACAUAUAUUUAAAUUUUUAGAGGUAGGACUAAAUUGAUAGAUUUUAUAAAUAUUGAGGGUCAAAUUUAUUAUUUUUUUAAAAUUAUAAUUAAAAAAAUAAAUUUUGUAAACAUUGAGGACUAAAUUUGUUUAAUUUUUAUAUUUAAGAUCAAAUCGAUAGAAUGUAUAAAUAUUAGAGAGCUAAUUUUAUUACUAGACCAAUAAAAUAAGCCCACAUUUAUCUGAUUACAUACUAAUUAGUUCAAUAAUUCAUUGUUAUUUUCAUGUUAUUCAUUGUUUUGAAUAAAUGGAAAAGUAAAAGCAUAAACACAACAUACUUUCCAAAGCUCCAUUUCAAUUUUUUUCAUUAUUCAUCACAUGUUUCUUUCAAACAAUAAAAAAUAUAAUAUAAAAUAUAAUAUUCGUUCACAUGUUGAUUUUUCAUACAUGUAGCAUGUAAGAAAACAAAGAAACAAUGGAAGCCCCAACCAAUGAUCCAAGAACUGGCAAGGCUGUGGCAGCCACGCUGGAGUCUGGUCCUGAUGCUGGGGCAGAACCGGGAGAGGAGCUAGGAAUAGAACCACCGGCGGAAGGGGAGGGAGCAGGUGCAUCGGCAGCCAUGACGGCGCUAAUUGAGGCGGCAGCAACAAUGAUGGCGGUGGAGACCUUCUUCAUGUCCAUGGCGUAUAAAGGGAUUAAUAUUAAACGCACCAGAAAUGAACGAGACCUGCGUUUAAUUGCUGGAGAAUGGGGAUCCGCCGGUGAUUGUUAUUAUUUGCUUUGUUAUUGCAGGUCUGAAGAACAAUGAUGUUGGGGAGGAUCUUUUAUAGGUGAAAAUUCAUGGCUAUUUUUAGUGAUGAAUUUUUUUUUUAAAAUUACGUGUUUGGUUUUUGCAUGAUUUGCGGGAUAGACAUGCAAAUUUUUUAAUAUUUUUUAACGAUUUUUAGAUAAUGAGAUUUUAAAUUUUAAGAUUAAAUGAUAAUGAAUUUUUAUUUAAAUUUAAUUAAAUUAUUUGAAUAUGUUUUUUUCAUUAUUAUUUUUAAAAUUAUAAAUUUGAUUUCGACGGAUAUGAUUCUUUUACGAAACCUUAAUGGUAAAGUAAAGUGAGAGAUUCUAAAAAUUUAUAUGUAAAUAAUAUAUAAUAAGAUGUACAAUGAUAAAUGGUUGGAUGGUAAGUUUUUAUUGGGAUGAAUAUAAGACUAUGAAGGUAAAAUUAUUAGUUUAAGUUUCCGUAUUUGGGGAAGAUUGCAUUUUGGUCUUUUUAUUAAAAAAUGAGUAUAUUAGUCUUUAUAUAUUUCGAAAUGUACAAAUUAGCUCAUUAUGUUGAAAAUUAUCUUUUACGGGUAUAUAAAAAUUGUCACCCAAUCAUGUCUAUUGUUCUAUUUUGGUUACCCAACUAAAAAUUCAUUUGGAUUUAAGUUUACCUUGAACGUGGCACGAUUUGGCACUUUAUUGCCCAAUCAUGCUCAACUCAAUCACUUGGAUGCAUAAAUGGGAUUCAACUUCAUUGCACAGAGGCUUUACUUUUUCAUUGGAGGAUUACAACCCCACCAACUUUUUCUUUCCUUUUGUAUCUAAACCUAAUUAUGGGUCGAGUCACCUGGCUCGAAGACCCACUCGAAAAGUGAAAGGAUUUGUGCAAAAAUAUAGGCUCGAAAAAUGAGUUUAGGCAAAAAAAAAUAGGCCUGAUUUCUAAACGAGUCAGGCAUUGGGUAAACUUUUUUUGGCCUGGUCGAAUUUGUAAAAAAAACCUACUGCUUUUUGCUGCUAUUUUCACUGUUUUUGUUGUUGUUUUGCCACUAUUUUUGUGGCGUUUUGCUAUUAUAUUGCUAUUAUUUUGUUGUUAUUAAUUGAAUAUUGUAUAACUCUUAUUUUAUUGUAUUUGAUGUAUUAUUCUUUUUGAAUUUAUUUUUAUAUAAAAAUAAUAAUAUAAAAAAUUUUAAUACAGACAGCCCGCGCCAGACUCGGGUUUUAGCAUUUUUAUUCAGGUCAAAUUUGGGCAAAAUUUGCCCAGUUUUCAGGUCGGGUUGAAUCCAAGCACAUACUCAAUUGUUAUUUUUAACCUCAUCGGAACUAAACAAACUAAACCUUGUCAGAUACAUAAAUCAUACAGGGUUAGCAAGGCCUCGGCCUCCCCUAAAAUGAAAACUUUUUUAUUUAGGCCCCUUUGUAAUUUAUAAAAUUUUAAAUUAACAAUAAUAAAAUAGUGAAAUUACAGUUUUACUAUCAUAAAAAUAUAAAACAAUUUUAUUUGUUGGUCUAAAAUUUUAUACAUAUUAGAAUUACAAAAGGAUGAAAUUGUUACAUGCUGGUUAUUAGUUCAAUAAUUUAAUGUUAUUUUCAUGUUUAAAACUUAAAAAGUUAAUUCAACUACUUUAAUUUAUCGUAAUUUUAAUUUCGGAAAUCAAAACGUAAAACAUAAACACAAAAUAUUAUUCAAAGCUCCAUUUUAUUCAAUUUUAUUCAAUAUUCAUCACAUGUUUCUUUCAAAAAAAAAUAAAAUAAUAUAUUCGUUGACAUGUUCAGUUUUGAUACAUGUAGCUUACUGCAGCAUGUAAGAAAACAAAGAAACAAUGGAAGCCCCAACCAAUGAUCCAAGAACUGGCAAGGCUGCGGCAGCCACGCUGGAAUCCGGUCCUGAUGCUGGGGUGGAACCAGGAGAGGAGCUAGGACUCGAACCACCGGCGGAAGGGGCAGGAGAUGGUGCACCAGCGGCCAUGACGGCGCUCAUUGAGGCAGCGGCAACAAUGAUGGCGGUGGAGAUCUUCUUCAUGUCCAUGGCGUUAUAAAAAAGGGAUUAUUAAACGCACCGGAAAUGAAUGAGACCUGCGUUUAAUUACUAGAGAAUGGGGAUCCGCCGGUGAUUGUUAUUAUUUGCUCUGUUAUUGCAGGUCUGAAGAAGAAUGAUGUUGGGGAGGAUCAUUUAUGGUGAAAAUUCAUGGCUAUUUUUAGUGACGAAAUUAAAAAAAAAGAAAAAAAGAAAUACGUGUUUGGUUUUCGCAUGGUUUGCGGGAUAGACAUGCAAAAUUUUGAAUUUUCUUUAACGAUUUUGACUGGAUUUUUAGGCUAGGGAAUUUAAUUUUUUAAGAGAGAAGAGUACUAAAUUAGAGAAAAAUAAUUAAAUCAAUAUCAUCUUGUAAAUUAUUCAGAAUGGAAGUAUCAAUUUGUUGGGGAGAAGAAGUAAAUUCAUGGAGACUCAAUUGAUAGUCAAACAUCAUACCAACUAAGGCAUUAGUCGCUCCAUUAGAUUCCUUAUAAAUAUGCUCGAUUCAAACACCUAUGUUCGAGCGUAAAGCUCUUUUAUUCUGCAUACCAGUGCCUUGUUCAAUACGCCUUUAUAUUCAUCAUUGAUUGCUUGAAUUGCAAUUAAACAAUCACAUUCCAAAACAACAAGUUUUCACCCUUCAAACCAAAUCAGUUUAAGUCCACUAUAGAUUGCCCAAAGUUCUGCUUGUUCAAUACUACAUUUCUCAAUAUUGUGACCGUAGCCAAAUAUCCAUCUGCCAUGGUUGUCUCUAACAAUCCCAACUGAGCAGGCAAGUCCAGUAUGAGGUUUCCUUACACCGUCUGUGUUCAUUUUGACACAACUAGCUAUUAGUGAGUGCCAGGUGCUUGGUCUGAUUCGGUUUUUAACCUUAAUCUUUGGUUCCCUAUUAUGUUUAACAUUCACAACCCAACUCCAAGCCAAUCCUACAACCAUACCAGAAUUACGAGGAACAUUUUCAAAAACAAAAGAAUUCCUUUGUUUCCAUACAAACCGACAUAGGAUACCGAAUAGGGUGUUCCAAUUAACAUCUUUGAAUUGUAAAUUCGGUUCAUUAGAAAGAUUGACAUUCACUCAAGAUAAAAGUGACGGAGAUAAGAACCUGGAGUAGAAUGAAUCCAGAAUGAACUGCUUCCAUACUUCUUGAGCUUAGAAUAUUUUCUUCUGCAGAUCCAAAAUGCAGCAACUAGUGUCAUCCGUCAGUCUGCGUCUGCAUCUUUCCACGUUUGAGAGGAGUCGCUUGUUGUUCCAAUAGGGUCGGAAGCGUGUAAAUUAUUGUACUAAAAAAUCACACAAAGUUCAAUUCCCAGGGAAGAGAGGUGGAUCACAAGGAUCUCUUAAAUACCAAGUCUUUCCUUAGUCAGAAUAUUCCUUCUAACGUAAUUUAAUAGCACAAUUAAAUACUACUAUUAUACCCUCAAAUAUUGAAAGAAAAAUAGGACAAAAAGAACACAAGAGUUUUAACGAGGUUCGGUAAAUUAUACCUACGUCCUCGGGCACUAACACCAGAUGAUAACUUUACUAUCUCCAAAAUAUUACAAACAAAUAGAAUUCCUUAAGAAUUCUCAAAUGGGAGAAGAGAGAAAACUAAGAGAGAAAGAUUGGUUGGGAUGGUUGAAAUGAGAAAUGGUUAGGCCUAUUUAUAGUUGAAGUUCAGGGACUAACUUGCAAAUGACCUAAAAAAUUAGGGACCAAAAUUGCAAUUAUCCCUUUCAACUUUAAACAACUUGCCAACUAUUUUUUUUCUUUCGGUGCCAAUUGCACCUCCCACCAUUUUUGACUUUUCAACCCCUUUUUAAUUUAACUUAUCAACAAUCUCCACCUUGAAGAUUUGAUUAGGAUAAUCACAUCUUCACACACUUCCUUCAACUCCCCAAAUUUGAUAAAGCUAUCUUUUGUAGUGCCUCCAAAUGCGCUCUCGAGCGCCAUACACCUAAAGGUGCUCAAAUUCUCAGGAUGUUAAUCAAGUUCAAACAAUGAUUAAACUUGAUUGUUGUUACCACCUUGGUCAUCAUAUCUGCGGGAUUAUCUGUUGUCGGAAUCUUCUCAAGUAGAAUUUUUCCUUUUUCAAAGACUUCCCACACAAAGUGAUAUCUUACGUCGAUAUGCUUGGUUCUUGAAUGAUAGACUUGAUUUUUCGCUAAAUGAAUAGCGCUUUGACUGUCACAAUAUAGACUAAUGUGACUUUGAACAACUCCCAAGUCUUUCAAUAAUCCAUUAAGCCAAAUAGCCUCCUUAACAGCUUCUGUAACUGCCAUAUAUUCUGCCUCUGUAGUAGACACAGCUACUGUAGACUGUAAGGUAGACUUCCAACUCACUGGGGCUUUCGCAAGAGUAAACAGAUACCCCGUAGUUGAACGACGUUUAUCUAAAUCACCAGCAAAGUCGAAAUCAACAUAUCCAACUACAAACUGACCAAGUGCUUUAUCUUGUUCAAAAAUUAAACCAACAUCUACGGUUUUUCGAAGAUACCGUAGAAUCUAUUUCACAGCUUGCCAAUGUCCUUUUCCAGGAUCAUGCAUAUACCUGCUCACAACUCCAACAGCUUGUGAAAUGUCAGGCCUCGUACACACCAUCGCAUACAUCAAACUCCCAACUGCAUUAGCAUAUGGGACUUUCGCCAUAUAUUCUCUUUCAUCUUCAGUCUUCGGAGAUAAUUGAGCACUAAGUUUCAAAUGAGAAGCAAGUGGGGUACUUACAUGUUUUGUGUUUUCAUUUACACCAAAACAUUGUAAUACCUUUUUCAGAUAUUGCUUCUGAUUUAAACAGAGCUUGCCUCUCGGUCUAUCUCUACUUAUCUCCAUGCCGAGAAUCUUCUUGGCCUCACCUAGAUCUUUCAUCUCGAACUCUUGAUUCAACUGAGCCUUCAGCUUAUCUAUCUCAUUUUGGCUCUUCGAAGCGAUUAACAUAUCAUCAACAUACAAGAGUAGAUAAAUGAAAGAUCCGCCAUGCAGCUUCUGCAAAUACACACAAUUGUCAUAUUUGCUUCUUGUGUACUCCUGCCUUCUCAUAAAGCUAUCAAAUCGCUUGUACCACUGCCUCGGGGAUUGCUUCAAUCCAUAUAGCGAUUUGUUAAGCUUACAAACCCAAUUUCUACCACCAGCAUCUGUGUAUCCUUCUGGCUGAGUCAUAUAGAUCUCCUCUUCUAACUCACCAUGCAAGAAAGCCGUCUUAACAUCAAGUUGAGCUAGCUCCAAAUUCAACUGUGCUACCAAGGCCAACAAAAUUCUAAUGGAGGAAUGCUUCACAACAGGGGAAAAUACAUCAUUGUAGUCAAUUCCCUCCUUCUGAGCGUAGCCUUUAGCUACCAAUCUUGCCUUGUAGCGAAUAUCCUUCUUGCUAGGAGAUCCAUCUUUCUUUGCGAAUACCCACUUGUAUCCGAUUGCCCUUUUACCUUUCGGUAAUUGCGCCAACUCCCAAGUAUUAUUCUUCCGGAGAGACUGCAUUUCUUCAUCCAUGGCGCUUUUCCAUUUAUCACUUUCUAAGCUUUGCAUUGCUUCUUGAUAAGUGAUAGGAAUAUCAUCAACAACGGGAAGGGCGUAGGCCACCAUAUCAGUAAAUCGAGCAGGUUUACGAAUUUCUCUCCGUGGCCUUGCAACUGCAACUGGUUCUGGUGUACUUAGUGGUUCUUGGGUCAGAACCUCUUCAACCUCUAAUUCCUCCAUUGUGGCUGGAGAAUUAGACUUAUUAACUGGGCAAAUCCCCAUCUGCUCAAACUCCACCUGUUUUGGAGUACACUCCACCUGCUGUGGAGUAUUGCUCGUCUGAAUAUCUUUAUCUGCUACCUUUUUCAAUGUGGCAGAUUCAUCAAAGGUAACAUCUCUGCUACAGAUCAUUUUCUUUGUGCUUAAGCACCAAAGACGAAAUCCCUUCACUCCAGAAGUGAUUCCCAUAAAGAGAGCUUUCUUUGCCCUCGGAUCUAACUUUGACUCCUUCACAUGGUAAUAUGCAGUGGUUCCAAACACAUGUAAGGAAUCAUAAUCUGUAGCCGGUUUUCCAGACCAUACCUCCAUAGGAGUUUUUCUUUCUAAUGCAGAUGAUGGCAAACGAUUAACAAGAUGGCCAGCGUAUGUCACAGCCUCAGCCCAAAAUUGCUUGCCCAACCCAGCAUUGGACAACAUACAUCGAACUUUCUCCAGCAAUGUUCGAUUCAUACGCUCUGCCAAUCCAUUCUGCUGUGGUGUAUCCCUAACUGUGAAGUGUCGAAUAAUACCAUACUCUUGGCACACAUCGAAGAACGGAUCACUUUUAUAUUCCCCUCCAUUGUCCGUCCUAAGCCGCUUGAUUUUCUUGCCAGUCUGGUUUUCGAUCAUAGUUUUCCAUUUAAGAAAAACUCCAAGCACUUCAUCUUUAGUUUUCAUGGUAUACACCCAAACUCUUCUGGAAAAGUCAUCAACAAAAGUAACAAAGUAGUGUUUUCCUCCCAAUGAAGGUGUUUUGGAAGGCCCCCACACAUCUGAGUGAAUAUAUUCCAAAAUACCUUUUGUAUUAUGGAUAGCAGUGCCGAAUUUCACUCUCUUUUGCUUUCCCAGAACACAGUGCUCACAAAAUUUUAAUUUGUAAGCCUUUGCACCUUUCAACAAUCCUUGCUUUGCCAGAAUUUGCAAGGAUUUUUCGCUGGCAUGUCCCAACUUCAUAUGCCACAACUGCAUUGAGUCCAAGUCUUUGUUACCGGAAGCUGCAGCGACUGCUCCAAUAACUGUACUACCUUGGUAGUAAUACAAGUUAUUUUUCCUGAUGCCCUUCAAUAUCACAAGUGCGCCAGAUGUCACUUUCAAAACCCCAUCUCUCAUAGUAACAACUGAACCAUUGGAUUCCAAGGCUCCCAAUGAGAUGAGAUUUUUCUUCAAACUGGGCACGUACCGAACAUCAGUCAGAACUCUGGUUGAUCCAUCUUUAUUCUUUAAUUGGAUUGAACCUAUCCCAACAGUUUUACAGGCAUUGUCAUUGCCCAUAUAAACAACUCCUCCAUUUAGUUCUACUAAAUCAGAGAACCACUCCCGGUUAGGGGACAUAUGAUAGGUACAACCCGAAUCUAAUAUCCACUCAUCUGAAUGGAACGACGAUGAUGAUGCAACCAGUGAUAGUUCAGAGUCACUAGUAUCAUGCUUAGCAACACAAGCAUCUACAGCAGCUUUUCCCUUAUUCUUCAGCUUUGGACAAUUUUUCUUCCAGUGGCCUUUCUCAUGACAAAAAGCACAUUCAUCUUUCCCGAGUCUGGACUUUGACUUUGAUCUCCCCUUUUGAGUUUUCUUCCGAGUGUAUGAACGACCUCGGACUAGUAAAGCUUCUGUAUCUCUGAUUGAGUUUUUCUGUUUGUCCUUCUUUCUCUGUUCAUAACUGUAUAAGGCCGCACAGACUUCGCUCAGAGAUAUAUCACUCCUGCCAUGAAGUAGAGUAGUUUCUAGGAACUCAAACUCCUCAGGAAGUGACCCCAACAGCAUCAAAGCCAAAUCUUCAUCUUUGAAUGUCUCAUCCAUAUUCAGCAAAUCAGUGACUAACUGAUUAAAUUUGGUGAUGUGAUCAUUCAUUGUGGUACUUGGGACGUAUGUGAAGCAAAACAGUCUUUUCUUCAAGUGGAGCUUAUUUUGACUGUUUUUCUUCAAAAAUUUUUCUUCAAGUGCCACCCACAACUUAUUUGCAGAAGUCUCCUUUGAAAAAGCAUACCUCUGCUCUCGAGAAAGGCAUGAUCGAAUUGUGCCACAUGCCAACCGAUUGAUCGCCUUCCAAUCUUUCUCCUGUACAUCAUCUGGUUUCUCUUCAUCAAUGGCAAUGUCUAGACCCUGCUGAAAAAGGGCAUCUAGAACCUCACUUUGCCACAUACCAAAAUGGCCCGUGCCAUCAAAGAUCUCCACGGCCAAUCUUGCAUUUGCAAUUGUCGGUCUUGUCCACAUGGACGAUGUUGAAGCUCCUACACCGACCGUUUUCUCCAUAAUCUUUCAAUAUACCUAAGGAAAUCUUUUCUGAUGUGGAAGAUCAGUUUAAACUGCAACCACAGAGCAUACUACGAUUAACCUUCGGCUCUGAUACCACUUGUUGUUCCAAUAGGGUCGGAAGCGUGUAAAUUAUUGUACUAAAAAAUCACACAAAGUUCAAUUCCCAGGGAAGAGAGGUGGAUCACAAGGAUCUCUUAAAUACCAAGUCUUUCCUUAGUCAGAAUAUUCCUUCUAACGUAAUUUAAUAGCACAAUUAAAUACUACUAUUAUACCCUCAAAUAUUGAAAGAAAAAUAGGACAAAAAGAACACAAGAGUUUUAACGAGGUUCGGUAAAUUAUACCUACGUCCUCGGGCACUAACACCAGAUGAUAACUUUACUAUCUCCAAAAUAUUACAAACAAAUAGAAUUCCUUAAGAAUUCUCAAAUGGGAGAAGAGAGAAAACUAAGAGAGAAAGAUUGGUUGGGAUGGUUGAAAUGAGAAAUGGUUAGGCCUAUUUAUAGUUGAAGUUCAGGGACUAACUUGCAAAUGGCCUAAAAAAUUAGGGACCAAAAUUGCAAUUAUCCCUUUCAACUUUAAACAACUUGCCAACUAUUUUUUUUCUUUCGGUGCCAAUUGCACCUCCCACCAUUUUUGACUUUUCAACCCCUUUUUAAUUUAACUUAUCAACAUCGCUCUUAUAAAAUUAGCCAUAAAAAUUGUCGAACACAUUGCGAACCACCAUAGGACCAAGAAAGUUCCCAUUUAUUGUCCGAACUAUUCCAGGAAUCAUGAGAUAAGAAAGUAUAGGCUAUUUUAACAGUUAAGUCUCCAUUCAUAGACCAUUUAGAUACUAAUGAAUUCGAUCCAGCAAGUGCACGAGGGGGUAGAACACCAGCUUUUUUGUCAAAAAAAGGUUCGUCCAAAUGAUUUCUAAUAUACCUCCAAUUCCAUUCACCGUCAUUUCUAACCAAAUCUUAGAGGAUGGGAUUAUCAUCUCGAGCCAUAUUAUUCGGAUCAUGAAGUAUCAAAGGACCUACCUCAGGAAUCCAAUCAUCAACCCAAAAUUUGACUGAAUUCCCAUCUCCUAUGGACCAACAGAGGCUAUCUCGUAAGAGAGGUCAAACUUUUGCAAUGGACUUCCAUACAAAAGAGCUUAUGUUGCACGUAAUUACCAAUGGACAUACCUCCUGAAAUUUGUAUUUAUCUCUUAUCACUUGAACCCAUAAAGCAUUCUUGUUAGUACUGAAAUUAAAGCCCAACUUUAAGAGGAAAGACUCAUUUUACUGCCUUAAAUGUCAAAGACCCAGUCCUCCAUUAGCCCGAGGUUGGUAAUAGUUAUCCCAUUGCACUAAUGUUGGUUUAGAUCUUAAGGAAGAACUCCCCCAAAUAAAACUCAUUGAAAUACUAGGUAUCAAAGUUGUUUUGUAACAACCUAUUUUCAAUGGUACAAAAAAUGAUAGUUUUAAAAUUCCAUUUUCUGAGGACUAAGUCAGCAAAUAUUAUUUAAUAAUAUUUAUGAAUGGUUUAUAUUAUUAUAAUGGUUAUUAGUUCAGAAAUUUUAUUGAUUGAUUAGUAAUUAGUAUAGAGACUAAAUGUAAAAACUGUAAAAGUUGAAUUUAAGUGGAUUGUUUAAUUAGUUGAGUAUGAUUUAAUUAUUGGAGGAUUUGUUUGACAAUAAGCCAAUUUUGGACAUAAUGGCUUGCCAUGGAAUUAGUUUAGUUGAAAUUUUAUAUUGAUUUUUAGUUAAAAAACAUAAAAAUUAAAAGGUUUAAAAUAAUAAAACAUGGAAAGUGCCAUCAUCUUCCUCAUUUUUCUUAUUCUCCUACGAAAACAACAUUUUUGGAGCUAGGAGAGUUCAGCCAUUUCACAACCUUCCAUGUAGGUAUAUUUGAGCUUGGUUUUUUGUAAAUUUUAUAUUUUUGUAAUCGUUGUAACUUAAAUCUAGCUAUAUUGUACCUCCGUUUUUAAAACUGUUAAAGAUUUUAAAUGCCACCAUUAGAGAUAAUUGAAGCUUUUGGUUGUUAAAAUGGUGCUUUAAAAACUUAGGAAUGGAAAAAUGAUUAAAUUGUGAAGCUAAUUGUUAGUUUUGAGUUUAGGGACUAAAUUAUGAAUAAAUUGAAAUUGUUAUAUUUUUUUGUAAAUUGUGGUAAUAGGAGGCUGUAUAGGGACAUAUUUGAAGUGGGUUUAAAUUUUGGAGUUUAAAUUCGGAAGAUAUGAUAAGUUUGGUUUUAGGGACUAAAUUGAUUAAAAUGAAAAACUUUAGGGGAAUUUGGAUAAUAAAAUUGAGCUGAUUUAUGCUUAUAAUAGGGUGAAAUAAGAGGAUUGAAAUUGAUAAAUUGAAUUGAACAAUUGUAUAGCUAAAAAAUUAGACCAAAUCAGAAGUAAUCGUGGAAAAAAAGGCAAAAUUAUUGAUUAGUCCUUAGAGACUUGACCGUUUUCUAUUUGUCCAGAUAAGUUCAUAUGGUAGGAUUAUACUUAAUUUUCUAUAUAUUUGAAUUAUGAUUUUGAGUAUCUUGAUAGUAAAUUAAAUUGUUUGCAAUUUGGUGCAAAGAGGUGAGGUAUGAACUAAAUCGUAAGGAAUUGAACAAUUAAUUGAAAAUUGAAAUAAUUAAGGAAAUAACCUUAAAUUGGACUGAAAUAGGAUAUAUUAUGUGAUAAAGUGAUUAUUUGAGGAAAUGAGCUAAAAUGAUUCGAUUUAGAUCGGUUGAAAGUGAUAAUGACGGAAUUGAAUAUAUGUGAAAAUAUUAUAUAAUUUUAUAAAUGUGAAAUUGAAUCAGUAUUGUUAUGUGUUAUGCUAUCAUAUUUGAGAAUUGAUGAUCGGUUAAUGAAAUUAUGUAAUGAAAUUGAGAAAUUGUUAUUCUUAUUAAUUGUUUGGGUAGAGUCAGAUAUAGUUGGAGUGUCGAUGAGGCACUGGGUGCCAAACUACUUCAGUUAUACCGAUGAGGCACUGGGUGUCAAACACAUUGAUGAGCACUGGGUACAAACUAUUUACUUUGACAUUGUCUGAUAAGGCACUAGGUGUCAAAUUGGUAUGAUAGGUGGGAUUCAUAUAUCCGUUCAAGUCUGAGUUAGAUUAAUAGGGGUAUAAAAAGAAAUUUUGAUAAAUGAUAUUUAAAUUGGGUUGAUAUAAUGAUUUGAUGAUUUGUAUACAUAAUGCGAUCUAUAAAUAUCGAUGGUAUGUGAAAAAUUAUACGAAACAGUUAUAUAAACCUAGAAGGCCGAUAUAGAAAUGUAAUAAAUCAAAGAAUUCGGUUCGAAAUUCAAAAUAAGGAAAUGAAAUGGUAAUUGACAUUAGAUUGAAAUUGAAUGUAUAAUAGAUAAAUAGAUGGAAUGAUCUGAUAUUAUAAGAAUGAUGUUCAUAUGGUUAAAUGUUGAUUUGGUUUUUAGUAUGGUAUUGAAAUGUGAUUCUAAGUGAUUUGGUUUAUUUCAUAUUGAAAUGUUAUAUGAUGAGGUUAAAUGUUAACUCACCUUUUUUAUUUUUGAUUUGUCAUGUUACUAAGCAUUGUAUAUGUUUACCUCUUUUAUUUUCCCUUUCCUUGUAGAUUGUCAAUUUGUAGAACACAUCAAGCGAAUCAUCCAAAGCUCACAUUAUCCUGGUAUGUGUUCAGUAGUCUUUAGACCGCAUUAAGGCCCGAUUAUGUAAGGCAUGUACUUAGGACUCGUUUUGGUUUACUUGCAAAGUGAUAUGGCUUGAAAUCUAUGUUGAUAGAAUUAUGACAAAGAUAAUGCUUAAUGGAAAACAUAUGCAUUAGUAAAUGGAUUGAAUUGUGCAUUUGACAUUUGAAAUGGCAUUUGGGUAUGCGAUUACAUAGGUAAUAUAAUGUUAUGAAAUGGUUAAAAGGCUUGGCUGAUUAGGUUGAGUUUAUUUAAGCUAAUUUGAUAUGUUAUGAUGCCAAAUUGUGGAAAUAUUGAAUUAGUUUAUUUGAAAUGGUGAUAUAUGAUGUUUUGACAAUGGUAUGAAUUAUGUGUUUAUAAUAUGUUGUGAUGUUUUUAGUGGUUAAUGAGUAAGAGAUAACAUGAUAGGUUAUUAAAGAGUAUUGAAUGAUUUUGAUACCUUGUGUGAAAAUCAUGAUGGCAGUUACAUGAUGAUGAAUAAAUAGGUCUAGUAGGUGACUUAAUUUGAAGGAUGAGUAGUAAUGGAUUGUUAUAGUUGCAUGAUAAUUGAAUUUGCACUAGUAAAAUGGAAUAAGCCUAGAUUUUGUCUAGUUGAUUUGGUUAGUAUAUGUUUUAAUGUUAGAAUAGGGAAUGAGUUGGAUGUAAUGGACCAUGAUUGGAAUAGUGUAACAUUCAUUCACUUUUGGUUGAUGUUACGUCCAUGAUGUAGUACCCUUGAUGUUUGUGGUUAAAUUAGUAUAUUUAAUUUUAAUUUUUUAUGUUAUAUGACAGAUUUUGGAGUGCUUAUUGAUACUAGCAUAGGCAUUUUUAAAAGUGGUAUUUGACAAUUCUGUGCAAAAGUACUUAUACUCUGGUAUUAAUUAUCGAUACUUGAUCAUAUGAACAAUUUUCUUAAAACAAAUAGUUUUAUUAUUCGGUAUCAAUACCAAAUAAAGUAUCGACACCAAGCAAUUAAGUAUGGAUACUAACUCUAAUAUUUUGAAAAUUUACAAUUCAACCCUAUUCAUGCUCAAACUUUACAAUUAAACCAUUGUAUGUUCUAAUUAUGGGAAUUGGAACGCAUUCGUAUUUGUAAUUGUAUGUUUUGAAUUUUUAUACAAAUUAUUUAUCGACAGUUGCCUAUCAAUGAAUGUGACAUCACGUUAUUCGGAUUUGACAUAAUAGGGUGUUACAUGUUUGCAUAAAAUAAUUGGGGAUUGACAUAAGAAUAGAUUGUACCAAAGUAACACGACCCGCCAUCGAAAUAAGUUUAGCGUCCCAACUAUCAAGUAAUCUAUAGACCCUAUCAAGGACAAACUUAAAGGUACUAAUAGUGAUACACUGUGAAAGGCGAUAUUAGCAGGAGUAUUCUUUGAAAAGAAAAACAUUGGUCUUUUGGGCAUUAACUUUGUGAUCCGAGAAAAGUCAAAAAGUUCUAAAUUAUUUUAACAACUUUUACUUGUUCUAUAUCAGCUUCAAUAAACAGGAACAAACCAUCCGCCUCUAGGGCAUGCUUGCAAUAAAAAGAUUAGUUUCCAAACCCUCUCUCCAACCAAUUUAUGAAUAUAUUGUCCCAAUCUUUCCAUACAUAGAAUAAAUAAAUAUGGAGAUAAAUGGCACCCCUACCUAAUACCUCUCAAAGGUUGGAACUCAUCCGAUAAAACACCACUCCACAGAGUUUGCAUACAAUCUGAAGAAAUGCGUUCCAUAAUAAUUUGAGAUAUUCCAUGAGGAAUGAAACGUAGUUGGUGCUAGACCAAGAGUGUUAAAAUGCAUGACGAGAGAAUCCCGCAAUUUAAAAAUGUUUCAAGAGAUGGGUGGGCAUUGGGCUCCACCUCUUGGAUCAAACUUAAUAUAGAUGGUGGCAUGGUGCUUUAAAGACAUGGGUUGGUCUUGCUUCAGUAGGAGGUGUUGUAUGUAAUUGUAGAGGCGAAUGGAUGCUAGGAUAUUGCAUAAGCCUUGGGUAGUUUAAUGUCCUUGAUGUGGAGCUUUGAUGUCUUUUUGAUGGCUUACAGUUAAUGUGAGAAAGGGGUUCGAAAAUGUACUAGUUGAAUGUGGUAGCUUGGAAGCGAUCUCGGUUAUAUUGAGCAGUAAGUCUAAAUCUUGUGGAUCGACUCUAGUGUGACAAAUACGCAAAUUGGUGGAACAUUGGGUGGUACCACCAGAAAACUUGUGGUGCAAGAAACAAAAUAAAGUAAAAUAAGAGAUUUGAGAUGUGAAUUACUUUCUUUAAAGUUUAAUUUUACCUCUAGAAUACAAAAUUUAGGAGUAACAUAAUUUGAGUUUUUAUGUAGGCACAGGAUGAUUCCAAGAUAUAUUCUUUUUCAAGGGUAAAUUAUCCAGAUGGACAUCCAACUUUUCAAAUGCUUUCAUUUUAGUUACCUCCAUUACGACAAUCUUCCAUUUUGCGUCUGACAACACGUAAGAAAACAUAAACACAAUAUUAUUCAAAGCUCCAUUUUAUUCAUUUUUUUCAAUAUUCAUCACAUGUUUCUUUCAAAAAUAAUAAAAUAAUAAAAUAUUCGUUGACAUGUUGAUUUUUCAUACAUGUAGCUUACUGCAGCAUGUAAGAAAACAAAGAAACAAUGGAAGCCCCAACCAAUGAUCCAAGAACAGGCAAGGUAGCGGCAGCCACGCUGGAAUCCGGUCCUGAUGCUGGAGCGGAACCAGGAGAGGAGCUAGGACUAGAACCACCGGCUGAAGGGGCAGGAGAUGGUGCACCGGCAGCCAUGACGGCGCUCAUUGAGGCGGCAGCAACAAUGAUGGCGGUGGAGACCUUCUUCAUGUCCAUGGCGUAUAAAGUGAUUAUUAAACGCACCGGAAAUGAGAGGGACCCGCGUUUAAUUACCGGUGAAUGGGGAUCCGCCGAUGAUUGUUAUUAUUUGCUUUGUUAUUGCAGGUCUGAAAAACAAUGAUGGUGGGGAGGAUCUUUUAUAGGUGAAAAUUCAUGGCUAUUUUUAGUGACGAAGUUUAAAGGAAAAAUUACGUGUUUGGUUUUCACAUGGUUUGCGGGAUAGACAUGCAAAAUUUUGAAUUUUUUUUAACGAUUUUUAGGUAAGGGGAUUUUAAAAUUUAAGAUUGAAUGAUAAUUUAUUUCUAUUUAAUUUUUUUUUAAAUCGUAAAAUUUGAUUUGCACGGAUAUGAGAGAUGGAAUUAAGGUCUAUUAAUUCCAUAGAUUUUAUAUUUAUUAAUUUUGAAUGGAUUUUUUUAACUAAAAUUUAAAUGAUAGAAGUAAAGUGAGAUGAUUUAAUCAUUUAUAUGUAAAUAUUAUAUAACAAGAUGUACUAAAAAAAAUGUUAUAUACUAUCAUAAAUGUAGAGUUGUCCAUGGAUUGGACUAUUUGGCUCGGUCUAAAGGUUCGCCUAAAAAAUAGAAGAGUUUAGACAACAAUAUAGACUCGAAAAAUAGACUUAGGCAACAAAUAUACAUGCGUCCUCCUAUAUUGAUAACAAUAUCUACACUAAUUCAACUAAAACUCAAUCAGCUAAUUCCAUCGAUUUUAUAUUUAUUAAUUUUGAAUGGAUUAAUGGUAAAGUAAAGCGACGCGAUUCUAAUCACUUAUAUGUAAAUAUUAUAUAAUAAGAUGUACUAAAAAAUAUUAUAUACUGUGAUAAAUGGUCGGAUGGUAAGUUUUUAUUUUGAUGAAUAAAAGACUAUAACGGUAAAAUUAUUAGUUAAGCUCCUGUAUUAAUUAGGAGAAGGUUGCAAUUUGGAAAUUUUUUUGAAAAAAAUGAGUAAAUUGGUCUUUAUAUAUUUUGAAAUAUACAAAUUAACUCUUCUGUUAAAUUUUAUCUAUUAAAUGAUGACAUGAAACGUUAAAUCUAUAUGUUGAAAAUUAUUUUUUUAUGGGUAUAUAAAAAUAGUCACCCAACUAUAUCUUUUAUUCUAUUUUAAUUGUCCGACUAAGGAUUCAUUUUGAUUUAAGUUUACCUUCAAUCUGACAUGAUUUGGACACUCUAUUGCCCAAUCAUGCCGCAAUAGAUCACUUGGAUGUAUAAUGGGAUUCAAUUUCAUCGCACUGAGGUCUUGCUUUUUCAUUGGAGGAUUACAACUCCAUUGACUUUCUUCUUCUUUUUUUGUAUCUAGACUUGAUCAUGAGACAGGCCAUCUCAGUUCAACCCAAAAGUCCAUCCAAAAAGUGAGUGGGUUUGAACUAAAAUAUAAGCUCAAAAACUAGAAUUGGGCUAGAAAACAAAAUUUAUUUUCUAAAUAGAUCGAGCUUCGAGUAAGCUUUGUCAUAGUUUCUAUCCUUACCCUCGUUAGUGGCAGGGAAAGGGACUGAGAAGGGCUUUGCAACCGCUUUACACCCUCUCCUAAAACGGGUUGAGACUCUCCAAAAUUCAUAAAAGCAUAAGUUAAAUAUAUAAUAAAUUUAUAAUUUAACCUAAAAAUUAUUAAAAUUUUAAUUUAAUCGUUUUAAAUGCCAUAAAAUAUAAUUAAAACCUAUUUUAACACUCAUAAAAAAUUAUUUUAAUCUCGAUUUCUAUAAAAGAUUUUCCAACUUCACCCCACAUUUAUCUAAUUACAUACUAGUUAGUUCAAUAAUUCAUUGGUAUUUUCAUGUUAUUCAUUGUUUUGAAUAAAUCGAAAAGUAAAAGCAUAAACACAACAUCCUUUCCAAAGCUCCAUUUCAAUUUUUUCAUUAUUCAUCACAUGUUUCUUACAAAAAACAUAAAAAUGAAAUAAAAUAUUCGUUCACAUGUUGAUUUUUCAUACAUGUAGCAUGUAAGAAAACAAAGUAACAAUGGAAGCCCCAACCAAUGAUCCAAGAACUGGCAAGGUUGCGGCAGCCACGCUGGAAUCUGGUCCUGAUGCUGUGGCGGAACCAGGAGAGGAGCUAGGAAUAGAACCACCGGCGGAAGGGGAAGGAGCAGGUGAACCGGCAGCCAUGACGGCGCUCAUUGAGGCGGCAGCAACAAUGAUGGCGGUGGAGACCUUCUUCAUGUCCAUGGCGUAUAAAGGGAUUAUUAAACGCACCGAAAAUAAAUGAGACCUGCGUUUAAUUACUGGUGAAUGGCUAUCGCCGGUGAUUGUUAUUACUUGCUUUGUUAUUGCAGGUCUGAAGAACAACGAUGGUGGGGAGGAUCAUUUAUAGGUGAAAAUUCAUGGCUAUUUUUAGUGACGAAAUUUUUAAAAAAAUUUACGUGUUUGGUUUUUGCAUGGUUUGCGGGAUAGACAUGCAAAUUUUUGAAUUUGUUUUAGCGAUUUAGACUGGAUUUUAAGGUGGGGAUUUUUUUUGGUAAGAGAAACAAGAGUAGUAAAUUACAGAAGAAUAAUUACCUCAAUCAAUAUCAUUUUGUAAAUUAUUCAGAAGAAUAAUCGAAUCAAUUUACUAUUUAAUCAAUUCAACCAAUCAAUCUAAUGAAAUUUGAAGAAUUUGGUUUCUCAAGGUGGAUAUACACUUCGGUUCAAUUACUAUUUAAUCAAUUGGGUCCUUAUUGGCUAAAAAUGAAUUCUUUUAGAAAAAUAUAUAUUUAAAAUUUUAGAGUUAGGACUAAAUUGAUAGAUUUUGUACAUAUUGAGGGUCAAAUUUAUUAUUAUUUUUAGAAUUAUAAUUAAAAUGACAAAUUUUGUAAACAUUGAGGGCUAAAUUUGUUGAUUUUUUUAUAUUUAGUAUCAAAUCGAUAGAAUGUAUAAAUAUUAGAGAGCUAAUUUUGUUACUAGACUAAUAAAACAAGCCCACAUCAGCUCAGAGUAACUAAAUCGAAAAAAUUAAUAGUUGGGUAACCAAAUAGAACAAAAGACAUAGUUGGGUGACUAUUUUUAUAGUUUACCCAUAAAAAUCAUUUUCAGCAAAGAUUUAACGUGCCACAUCAUCAUUUUACAUAUAAAUUUAACGGCAGUCUAAUUUGCACGUUUUGAAAUAUAUAUAAGGGCUAAUUUGUUCAUUUUUCAAUAAAGGGACCGAAAUGUAAUCUACCGCUAAGUUCAGUGGCUUCCCUAGUACUUUUACGGACUAUAAAGGAAUUGAACUUGAAUAAAUGUCUUUAUUUAUGUUCAUUUAUUUAUUUUUUAAAGCUUAUUUGUGUUUAAUUUGUGUUCGUUAAGUAAAAUCAUUUUCGUGUUCAUUUAUUUAUAACUAUGUGUGUUGAUCUUUGCUCGUUUAAACUUAGUGAGGAUUAUAGAAAAGGUUGGCAAGAGAGGGGGAUGGUUGUUUAAACGGUGGUGAGGUGCUGGAAGAGAGAGGUUGAAGAAGAAAUCUAUCAAGGGAGGGGUAUUUAUAGGCAAGGAUGAUCACCCCUUGGCAUUAGGCCCUAACACGUGCCUUCACUGGUCUUGUCAUGUUUGGUCCCUUAGAAAACAUUGUAGAACUUCUAAAUAAGCAAUAAUGGGAUCAAUAUGGACAUAGUAAAGCUCUACGUGGGUCUUACUUGUGUUCCAUGAAAAAGAAUGACUCAACACCUAUCAUUGGCAAGGUAGAUUAGAGGUGAGCCACGUGUAAACCAUACAUACGUUUGCAAGGGCCAUGGCUGGUGAAGUGUUGCCUAUGAGCGAAGUUAUAGUCGAGAAGGUUGUGUGUGACACCCCACACCCAAUUUGAUCAUCAGAUCCGAAUGUGUCACAUCACAUUACAUCAUCGAAACAACUCAAACUAACUUGACAUAAAUUUGCAAAAUUAAAUUCUUAUUCAUCAUUCAGAACAAUAAGCCUAUUCAUUAUGAUCAACAAAUAACAUUUGGCAUACAUAAGAAUCAAUUCCAUCUACAUACAAGGGGUUAUAAUGAGUUAAUAUAUUAGAAUUAGGGCUUGAAUCCAAACUCAAAUGUCAUAUUUCAAGUUAUGUCUCCAGACAUGGAGAAUCUCGAGACAGGUCAUAAAUUAUUUUGGAAAUUUUAGCUUCAAAGUUAACAUGUCUCGAGUUGAGUCUCGAGGCAAGGUCAUUUAUGUCUCGAGAUUGACCUCUCAUGUUUUCCUAUUUUUGGUUCGAUGUUUGAAUGUCUUGAGGCAAGAGCUCUUGUAUCAAGACUUGGAAUAAGGAAAAAAAAUUAAUUUAGCUUCGAUGUACUUCUAUCUUGAGACAAAGACCACUUGUCCCGAAACCUAGGAGCAAUUCUCUCGAGACUAAUUAGUUAUGUAUCGAGGCAUCGGGCUCUUGAAUGAAAAAAUUAAGAGAAAUUCUUUUUAACAGUAUUGAGGCAUGUUUGCCUUAUAUCGAGACUUAAUGACCAAAUGAACAAAAUUUCCCACUUCUAACUACCCAAAACCUUAGGCAGUUGAACUCAAACUGACCUAAAGCUUACCUUAAACCAUAAUCUCAAAUUAACCCAUCUAAACACAUUUAACGAUCACUAAAUUAUAAUCUUCCAUGCAUAAACACUUAAUAAACCAAUUCAAACAAUCAAACCAACAUAAACAAGCAUAAUUAACUAAUAGUCAAAAGAUAAAAUCUAACCUCUUAAGCAUUAUGGGUCACUUACUUAAAGUGGCAAAACUAAAUUAGGCAUCAAACCAACCAACCUAAGUACAUGUCAUAUGACUUCAAAACUGUUAAAAAGAAUUUCUCUUAAUUUUUGCAUACAAAACAUGAUUGUAAUGGCUUUUUGAGUUGAGUUGGAGAGUUGGAUGCUUGACCGCGAAAUAUUUAUAGCUUUUAUCCACAACUUACGUGUUUAUCUAAUAAAAAUAACCAACCAACCAACAUAACUUGAAUUCAAUUAUAAACCUAACAAAUCUAAUAAAAAUAAGUAAUAAGAAAACCCAAGUUAACCAACCAACAUUUCACAUUUAUCUAAUUACAUACUAGUUUGUUCAAUAAUUCAUUGUUAUUUUCAUGUUAAUCAUUGUUUUGAAUAAAUGGAAAAGUAAAAGCAUAAACACAACAUACUUUCCAAAGCUCCAUUUCAAUUUUUUCAUUAUUCAUCACAUGUUUCUUACAAAUAAAAUAAAAAAUAAAAUAAAAUAUUCGUUCACAUGUUCAGUUUUGAUACAUGUAGCUUACUGCAGCAUGUAAGAAAACAAAGAAACAAUGGAAGCCCCAACCAAUGAUCCAAGAACAGGCAAAGUGGCGGCAGCGACGCUGGAAUCCGGGCCUGCUGCUGGGGCGAAAGCGGGAGAGGAGCUAGGGCUAGAACCACCUGCGGAAGGGGAAGGAGCAGGUGCAUCAGCGGCCAUGACGGCGCUCAUUGAGGCGGCAGCAACAAUGAUGGCGGUGGAGACCUUCUUCAUGUCCAUGGCGUAUAAAGGGAUUAUUAAACGCACCGGAAAUGAAUGAGACCUGCGUUUAAUAACUGGUGAAUGGGGAUCCGCCGGUGAUUGUUAUUAUUUGCUUUGUUAUUGCAGGUCUGAAGAAGAAUGGUGUUGGGGAGGAUCAUUUAUAGGUGAAAAUUCAUGGCUAUUUUUAGUGACGAAAUUUUUAAAAAAAAUUUACGUUUUUGCAUGGUUUGCGGGAUAGACAUGCAAAUUUUUGAAUUUGUUUUAGCGAUUUUGACUGGAUUUUAUGGUUAGGGGAUUUUAUCUUAUUUUAUUUUAUUUUAUUUGGUAAGAGAAACAAGAGUAGUAAAUUACAGAAGAAUAAUUACUUCAAUCAAUAUCAUUUUGUAAAUUAUUCGGAAUAGAAAUGUCAAUUUGUUGGGGGAGAAAAAACAAAUUCAUGGAGAUCCAAUUAAUAGUCAAACAUUAUUAUCAAUACAGGAGAAUGUGAGUUCGAGCGGAUUUAUUCUCCCAUUGAAAAGCUAGGAUGAGUUAUGAGUAGUUUUAAGCAUUGUUUCAACUUAAAAAGUUUCAGAUACUUUCACAGUUGAAUUAGAUUAUCAAAAAAAAAAAAUACUAAAUAAGCUCUUGUAUUUAGGGUGAAUUGCAUUUCAACCCUUUUACUAAAAUGGUGGCUAAAUUUAGCUUUAUGUAUUUCGAAACGUACAAAUUAGAUCAUACUUUAAAUUUUAUCUAUUAACUAUGUCUUUCGUUAUAUUUUAUUUUAGUCACACACUUAUCAUUUUUGUUUUGUUCAUAUCAAAUUAAUUAAUUUUUUUUAUUUCUUGAUUCAACCUAAAACUAUAUGGUUAUACAUUUUAAAAACAUUGAUUAAUAAUGACUAAGAAUUUUUCAUAAAUAAAACAUAAAUAAAAUUUCAAAAUUUUAUAUUUACAAAGAUGAAAAUCGAUCAAAACAUAGGGAAAAAAACCCAAUUUCUUGUUUAAAAAAUCUAAUAAAAAUUUUAAAUAUAUAUAUUUAGAGAAAUAUGUUUUUAUUUAAUUUUAAAUAAUUUUUUACAGCUUUUGUCUUGUUAGCUAAAUUUUGAAUUCGAAUUUCUAUUAUUGAAUAAUAGAAUCAAUGUACUAUUUAAUCAAUUCAACCAACUAAUCUAAUGAAAUUUGAAGAAAUUGUUUUCUCAAGGUGGAUAUACACUUCAGUUCAAUUACUAUUUAACCAAUUGGGUCCUUAUGGGCUAAAAAUGAAUUUCUUUUAGAAAAAUAUAUAUUUAAAUUUUUAGAGUUAGGACUAAAUUGAUAGAUUUUAUAAAUAUUGAGGGUCAAAUUUGUUUUUUUUAGAAUUAUAAUUAAAAUGACAAAUUUUGUAAACAUUGAGGGCUAAAUCUGUUGAUGUUUUUAUAUUUAGGAUCAAAUCGAUAGAAUGUAUAAAUAUUAGAGAGCUAAUUUUGUUACUAGACCAAUAAAACAAGCCCACAACAACUCAGAAUGACUAAAUCGAAAUAAUUAAUAGUUGGGUAACCAAAAUAGAACAAAAGACAUAGUUGGGUUACUAUUUUUAUAGUUACCCAUGAAAAUCAUUUUCAGCAAGGAUUUAACGUGCCACAUCAUCAUUUUACAGAUAAAUUUAACGGCGGUCUAAUUUGCAAGUUUUGAAAUAUAUAUAAGGGGUAAUUUGUUCAUUUUUCAAUAAAGGGAUCGAAAUGCAAUCUACCGCGAAGUACAAGGGCUUCUGUAGUACUUUUGCUGACUAUAAAUGAAUUAAACUUGAAUAAAUAUGUCUUUAUUUAACGUUUGCCGUAACACCCUUAACCCGUAUCCGUCGUCGGACUAGGGUUAAGAGGCAUUACCGAACAAUUCACAUCAUUAUACAAACAUUUCAUAUACAUUGAUCAUAUAUCAUCAUAUCACAUUCAUUCAUAAUCACAUUGUCCCUCAAAUAGGUCUAUGAGAUCUAAAACAUGAUUUUAAGAAGGUUCGAGACUAAAUUAAUUACACAUAAAAAUUUCUGAAACUUUAAGAAUUUUUUAAGUAACAGACAUCUCACGCCCGUGUGAACAGUCGCGUGGACGAAUAUAGGCUAUUUGCAAGGUCAAUUUGCCAACCAUAAGGGUCAACCCUACACAAGCACAUAAUAUACCAUUAUUCAUCAAUCGUGAAUAUCAAUUUUGAACACUUCCACUAAUGCAUCAAUAACUUUACUAAAGCUUACCACAUAACCACAAUCACAUUCCAAUUAUAAGGCCAUCUACAUAUCAAACCUCACAUUAUAAACAAGCCAAAUCUCAUGGCUCAAUACACUUCAAACAUAAAGGCACCAAUAGCCAAAAUCACUUAUACACUUAACAAACCAACUAGCCUAUACAUGCCACAUAACCAAAAUUUUAAACCUUUUAAGUACCGAAACCAUAGCUGGAUAGUGUGAUGGGAUCUCCGACGAUUUCCAACCCGAACAAGCCUUCGGAACACUAUAAACGUAGAAAAAUAACACAAAGUAAGCUAUAAAGCUUAGUAAGUUGAUAUGUAAAUAAUAAGAAAUCAGUUAACCUGCUUUUACCAAUCCUCACAACAUGUUCUCAAGAUAAUACAAUCAAAAUUGCACAUAGUUCCACUAUUUACUCAUGUUCACAUCAAGCUGUCUACUCGAGUCAUAAUCACUAAAUUCUUUAUAUCUUGUGCUACGGAACUCCAAAUUAAGAUCCUCUUGAUUUUCCUGAAACUAGACUCACAUAUCUUCUUACCAUAAAAUUUUUAGAAUUUUUUGGUUUAACCAAUAAGUACAGUUAAUUCUUCAAAGUUGUCCCUAUUCUGCUGUCUGACAGUUCCGACCCUUCUUCUCUAAAAAUUAAUUAUCUCUUAGUACGGGAUUCAGAUGAUAUUCCCAUUUGUUUCUCUUGAAAAUAGACUUAUUAUAAUUUUAAUCAUAUAAAUUCUAACCGAUAAUUCUUUUUAUACAAUUUUUAAUGAUUUUUCAAAUUCUAACACAUAUCAUAUUUCAUCUAUACAAUUCACAUAGAUCAUAUUUCAUUUCAUUCUCAAUCAUAUAAUCAUUUACAUAGCUAACCUUAGCUUUCACAAGUUUAAUCAAUUUAAUUCUUAUAUAACAUUCAAUUCAUACUUCCAUAUAGCCAAAUGAGCACAUUUAGGUAUACAACAUAUUUAAACACAUAUCUUUCUCAUUUCAUAUACAUGAUACGGUAUGAACUCACCAAUUCACUUUCAUUCGAUUCUCACAUAGGUUAUGUACAUACCUGUCUUGCUUAACUCAAUCAUACUUCCAUUCUCAACUUUCACUUACUUGUUGAUUUCUGUCACGAAUACUUUGCUUUCAUUGUACUAUCACUUAUAACCAUGUUUCAUCCAUUUUUCCCGUUGAACCAUUUAGAAUACUAAAGGAUACUCGGGGAUCCCGUACACAUAGUACCGUAACAAUGCCAUAUCCUAGAUAUGGUCUUACAUAUAAUCACAUAUCGAUGCCAAUAGCCCAGCCAUGGUCUUGCACGAAAUCACAUAUCGAUGCCAAUGUCCCAAACAUGGUCUUACAUGAUGUCUAAUAUCUAUGUCAUAUCCCAGAUAUGGUCUUACACAUAAUUUCGGUAACCCUAAUGUCAUGACAUUUGUAUCCUAUCUAUUCCUAAGGUUUAACCGGGACUUUUACUUUGUCGAAUCUCCAUCGAACAUUUCCAAAGCAUUGUAAUCACAAUUAAAUUCAAUAUUUAAGCAUUCACCAUAAUUAUCUCAAUUAAGCAUUUAAACAUGUAUAAUUUAAUGCUUAUUAAACAUACAAACUUACCUCAUUCGCUGAACCGAUGAAUUUAGGUCGACUAAUCCAAUACUUUGAUUUUCCCUCGAUCUAGAUAAUAUCAAAAUUAAUUUAUUUAAUUAUCUCUCUAUUCAAUUUAAUCCAAAAUUUUCUUUAAAGUACAUUUACACUUUUCCCCCAUAAUUUCACAUUUUUACAAUUUAGUCCUUGUCAAAUAAAAUCACAAUUUCAUGAAAUUAAACACAAACCCAAGCUAGCCGAAUUUUCCAUAUAUUACUAUCAGCCCAUAUUUUCAAUUUAUUUCACAUUUUAACCACUAAAUUUCCACAUUUCACAAUUUAGUCCAAAAUUGACAUUUUUCUCAAAAAAAAUCACUUUAUAAAAGAUGAAAAUCUAACAUCAAAUAUUCAUAAUCUAUCAUAAAUCAUCAAUUUACUCAAGCAUUCAACAAUGGCAACAUGUUAAAUCUUUAACAAUUUCAAUUUCAGAAGCACGGGCUAGCUACAUUACAAAGCAACGAUCACAAAAACAUAGAAAUAAUUAAAAAUGGGACAAAAAUACAUACCACACAAGCUAUGAAAUAGUUGCCGAAUGUAAAAGCUCUCAAAUGGCUUUUCUUGCCCUAAAAUUCGGUUGAAGAUGGAGAAGAAAAGAUGAUACCUUUACUUUAUUUUACUUAAUUUAUCAUUAUUAAUUAAUUUACUUUUAUAACCUUUAAAACAUUUAAAAUUUACACAAAUGCCAAGCCAUCACAUUCCACUAUCAACAUUAAUGGUCUAAUUACCAUAUAAAUACUUCCACUUUAAAGCCCUAUAGCUAUUUAAUACCUUUAGCUAUUAGAACUCAACUUUUACGCUUUAUGCGAUUUAGUUCUUUUUACCGAAUUAAACACUUAAACGAUAAAAUUUCUUUAUGAAAAUUUCACACAACUCUAAUAUCAUGCUGUAAAUAUUAAAAUAAUAAUAAAAUUUUACAACCUCGGAUAUGUGGUUCUAAAACCACUAUUCUGAUUUAGCUAAAAUCGAGCUGUUACAUUUGCGAGGGCCAUGGCAGUUGAAGUGUUGCCUAUGGGCAAAGUCAUAGUCAAGAAGGUUUUGUGUGACACCCCACACCCAAGUUGAUUGUCGGGUCUGAAUGUGUGACAUCACAUUACGUCGUCGAAACAACUUAAACUAACUUGACAUAAAUUUGCAAAAUUAAAUUCUUAUUCAUCAUUCAGAACAAUAAGCCUAUUCACUAUGAUCAACAAAUAACAUUUUACGUACAUAAGAAUCAAUUUCAUCUACAUACAAAGGGUUAUAAUGAGUUAAUAUUAGAGUUAGGACUUGAAACCAAACUCAAAUGUCAAAUUUCAAGUUGUCUCCAGACAUGGAGAAUCUCGAGAUAGGUCAUAAAUUAUUUUGGAAAUUUUAGCUUCAAAGUUAACAUGUCUCGAGUUGAGUGUCGAGGCAAAGUCCUUUAUGUCUCGAGAUUGACCUCUCAUGUUUUCCUAUUUUUGGUUCGAUGUUUGAAUGUCUUGAGACAAGAGCUCUUGUAUCAAGACUUGGAAUAAGGAAAAAAAAUUAAUUUAGCUUCGAUGUACUUCUAUCUUGAGACAAAGACCACUUGUCCCGAGACCUAAGAGCAAUUGUUUCGAGACUAAUUAGUUAUGUAUCGAGGCAUCGGGCUCUUGAAUGCAAAAAUUAAGAGAAUUUUUUAAUUCACCUUAUAUCGAGACUUAAUGACCAAAUGAACAAAAUUUCCCACCUCUAACUGCCCAAAACCUUAGACAGUUGAACUCAAAUUGACCUAAAGCUUACCUUAAACCAUAAUCUCAAAUCAACCCAUCUAAACACGUUCAACCAUCACUAAAUUAUAAUCUUCCAUGCAUAAACACUUAAUAAACCAAUUCAAACAAUCAAACCAACAUAAACAAGCAUAAUUAACUAAUAGUCAAAAGAUAAAAUCUAACCUCUUAAGCAUUAUGAGUCACUUACUUAAAGUGGCAAAACUAAAUUAGGCAUCAAACCAACCAACCUAGGUACAUGUCAUAUGACUUCAAAACUGUUAAAAAGAAUUUCUCUUAAUUUUUGCAUACAAAACAUGAUUGCAAUGGCUUUUUGAGUUGAGUUGGAAGCUUGACCGCGAAAUAUUUAUAGCUUUUAUUCACAACUUACGCAUGAAAACAAAUAAAUAUGUACGCUGAGUUAUGAUUACUCAAUGUUGCUAACAUAACUUGAAAUCAAUUAUAAACAUAACAAAUCUAAUAAAAAUAAGUAACAAGAAAACCCAAGUUAACCAACCAACAUUUCACAUUAACAUCAAGGAUGCAUAUAUACUAAUAGAUCACUCAAUUUCUCGAUAUGAUUUCCGAUGCACUCUCUAGGUAUUUGCAUCUAGUUUAACAUAUCAAACAUGAAACAUUUCAACAUUUUUAUCUCAUCUCAACUACACAUAUGUAUACAAUAAGCAAUAUUACAUUUUUUAUUUUUUUUUGAAGAUUAAAGUAACUCUAUUCGAUUAAAAUUAGAUUUUGAAGUGAUUGAUUCACACUGAUGUAUUAUGUUUUAAUUCUAUUACAUUAUAUUUUUAAUUUCAAUUUAUCUAAUAAUUUAUUAAUUUAUAUUAAAUUAAUUCCAAAUUUAUUUUCAUAAAAUAUUAAACAUAUAAAAUAGUAUUUUAAUUGAAAAAUAUUUAGUAUAAUUAAAAUUUUUUAAAUUGAAGGAAUAUUAUUUUUAAAAAUUUAAAUGGAAUAAUUGAAGUGAUGAUGUGGCAGCUGGUAGUUAACCAAAUUAUAUAUAAACGUUAAGUGAACGUUUCACACAAUUUCAAUUUAUUUUCUUUUGUCGGCCUAAUUUAUUAGCCGUUAUAUGAACGUUACCCAGCUGUACGUAGGUCCCACGCGCCACUCUCUCCGCCUAUAAAUAUUCUCCUUCCCCCUCACCGAACCCUAAAUCAAACCAAACCCCAAACAAAGCAAACAAAUUUCUGUCUCCCAAAGAAAUUUUUUUGCUCCUCUCCGCUUCAGAAAAAUGGCUCAAGUUAGCAUCUUGAAGGCUCUUUUGGUCGCUUUAUUCAUGGCAUUCUUAACCGCCGCCACGGCACAAGUUAGUGAGGCGCCUUCUCCGUCUCCAGACGCUGGUGCCGGUUUCUCCGUGGGCGUUUCCACCGCUGCUGUUGGGUUUUCUUUGGUUGUGUCCCUUCUUGCUUUGUUGAAAGCUUAAAAUUUAUGGGAUUUUUUUUUGGGUGGUCUUUUUGUACCAUUGAUUUAUUUUUGGGUUUUGUUUUUAAUUUCAUUCUUUGUUACUUCAUGGGAUUGAUUGUAAUGAAGUGGAUUCAUUGAGUAUUAUUAUUAUAUUUGAGCAUUUUUUUUCUUACAGUAUUCAUUGCCCAAAACAAUCGAUUUGGUAUUUCAGUAUUAAAUUGAAAAUAAUUCGAUUGGAUCCAAUUCUCCUGUCUUUCACUGUUAAUUCGAUUGGAUCCUUUUUAUCAUAAUUUUAACUUUGAAUUUCUUUUAUUUAUGUUUUUCGUCAGUACAGUAUGCUGAUUGUGUUGAAUUGAAAUAAUUUAAAAAACAAUCAAGUUUUUGUUGUAGGAAGUUACUUUCAGUACGACUUUUAAAAGUUAAUAAAGAAAUGCAAGGUCGGAACUGCUGUUAAAUUAGAAUUAAUUUUUUUAAUAAUUUAUAUUUAUUUUUAAGAUUUUUAAAAAAAAAAUUAGAAUUAUUGGUAAAAGAAUUUUUUUUAAAAUUAAAAUGAUAUUUUAGUUAUAGUUUAGGGACUAAAUUAAUGUUCUCUAUUAUUAUUUAACAGAAAAAAAAUUAAAGGAAGGUUAAUAUAUAAUUUCAAAAUAUUAAAGAUUUAGGGUGGGUGUAGAUGGGCGAUUGAGCGCGGUGCAGUGCGUUUAGUUUACUUUUUGUCUCACGCUACACUAUCUAAUUUCACCGCCACUGCUAUUUUUACACUAACCACAAAUAAAUGUACCGUCCAUCCAAACACACCCUUAUUUAUUUAUUUUUCAGAUAUAAGAGUUUCUCUAAUAUUUUUAUCGAACUUGUAUAAAAAACCUGACAAUAAUUUGGUAGGUAGGGGCACAUAUUUUAAAUAAUAUAUUAGUAAAAAAAGUGAGAUAUGGUAGGAAGGGGCAUGAGAAUCAAUUUCUUCGCUCUAUAACACCAAUGAUUCACUACAACCUAUCAAUUAUUCUGCCAACACAUUCCAACUCAAAUCAUACCCCAACUUUAUAUAUAUAAUAGCUGGAAACUCAAAAUAAUCAUUACCAUAACUCAAUUGAUGGUAGGAUGUGAGUUUGAGUCUCCUAUUUAAUGGUUGGAGAAGUGCUAUGAGUAUUCUAAAUUAUAAAAAAAAUAGUAGAUAUGAUCUGGACUUAAAAAAAAUUCAAUUGAACAAGUUACUAAAUUUUAAAUUUUUUGAAUCAUUUAAAUUUAAAAAUUGAGUUUUUUGAGUUGAAUCAUUACAAGUUUUGAUUACUUUAAGUUUAAAUCAUUUUCGACUAUUUAUUCAUGUUGUUAUGAGUUAAGAUCAAUUCAGAUUCAAUUUAAAUUGGUACGAAUUAUUUAUUUAUUAUAAUUAAAUUAGAUUGAAUUAUGUUUAAAUUCUAGUUUUUGAUACGCCUUGGUAUAUGUGAACGUUGAGUCCUAUUUAUAAUAACUCUCAUAUCUCUUCAUAUAAUUAUAUAAACAUAACUAUCCAAAUUGAUAAUCACAUUUUUUUAGUGACAAAAGACAUAACUCAUCACUAUGACUAAUUACAACUACUAAUAAAUAACCAAGUAACGUAACUUUUGGAUUACUUAUAAUCUUUCAAUUAUAACGAAAAUUUUCUAUACUUUCUUGAAGUUGAUAAUCUAUUCUAGCUUCGACGUUAUCUUUCAACAAAUGACAACCUGAUUUGGCAAUGUACUCCCCAUAUACAUUAGUUAGCCAUAUAAUUCUAUAAUCUCUUCUACCUUGGUAUAUAGGGAUACUUCAUUCUCAAAACCAUUUUCCCCAUUCAAAACAUACCAUUGCACCUUUCCACCUUUCUUGGCUUCAAGGAAAAUAAAUCCCCUUCAACAUAUUUACCCAACAUGCAAUGUUAAAAACAUUGAGAAUAUCUUUGAACCCAAUUCCCCCUUUUUCUUUUCUCUUUCUAAGAUUCAACCAGCUCACCCAAUGCAUCUUUUUUUCUUCCUUACCUUGACCCACAGGAAAUCUGGCAGAGCUAAAUUUAUCUCAUUACACAACUUCAUUGGUAUCUUGAAACAUUUAAUUGUGUAAACUAGUAUUGUUGUUGCUAUUGUCUUCAUUAUCAGCGGAUUUUGUUUCUAUGAUUGCACCUUCCUUAACACUUUUUUCCUUCACAUAUCCCAUUGCUACACAUUUUGCUUCAAACUUCCUGGAUCGUUGGCCUCUUGAAUAUGCAACUUUCCAACAACUGCAAGAUUAACAUAUUGUGGCACAUUUGUACUGAAAUUUAUACUUGGUUUGUUAAAGUUGAUCCUCCGCCUAGAGGCCUCACUAAAUUCAGUCAAAACGGCAGUUUAUAAUCUCACAAUUCUCCAUAUUUUCUGCCAUAAAAAAUUAAGGAACCAUCUUCAGAUAAUAGGCAAGACAAAUGUGGACAAUGUUUGCUCAUUUUAAUUCCUUUAUUUAUCAUUCUAGACAUGACAUCCACAAGAAGAAGCAAUAAGAGGAUGGAGAAUCCCCUUGCCUAAGACCUCUAGUUGGGAAAAUUGCGUUAAUUUUCUUGCCGAUGACAACUAUAAUAUAAGAAAAUAAUUUAAGAACUUCAUCAUCAACUUUAUCCAUUUUGUAUCAAAACCAAAUCUCUCUCACACACCUUCUAAAAGAUUCCACUCCACCUUAUUAUAGACAGUCUUCAAAUCCCUCAUUAUCCUAUUAUUUCUUAUGGAAAAUACUAGAGCACCCAUCAGGCCCAAUUAGAACCCUACUUCCAUGAUUUCCUAUUCUCUCACUUUCUCCAUUAGCUUCAAAUUCAUUUCUUCUGUAACCAAGGAAGGCACAAUAUCCAAAACAUGACCCCAUUGUUUAUGUCCAGUUGAAGUGAACAAAUCCCUAUAAUAAUCUUCAAAGUUUAUCUCAUUGCUACACAAUUUAUCUUUAUUGUUAUAAUAAUUAUUCUCAUCACUACUAUUGUUUUUACUUCUUUGAAGCUAAGCACAUCCAAUUGGAGCCUUAAUUGAAGCUUCAAGACGUCUUUGAUAUUGAACGCCAUCACAUGUAUGGCUUGUUGGAAUUUGUGACCCAUCAUGAACACAUAAAAAGUUCAUAAUCAACUAUUUAAGUAUAUUGGUAAAAGCCAUUUACAAGGUGCAUUGAAUAUUAGUAGAUACAUUGAUUAAAGUAAUGUGUUGUUAAUGUUCAAAGUAUAAUUUAAAUAUAUGGAUUGAAUUUUUAUAGAUACAUUGACGCUUCUCCCAUCACUUAAAGUUAUAGGUAAUGUCAUAUUUUCUUACUUAUAUCUAAAUAUAUAUAUGGAAUAUGACUAUCAACUUUCAAUAACAUAAUUUCUAUUAUAGAUGCUAAUGUAACAAUUAAGAAUAUAAAAAAACCAAAACCCACAAAACUUUCUACCAUUAUUCCAAAUAGCAUCACAAUUUACAACCUCCAAAACUAGUAUCAUCGAUCAUAUUCCAAGCUCAAAGAUCCACUAAAGAUCAAAAGAUAAAUCAUAUAUUUAAAAGUUCCAAAUAGUAGGAAAAGCUAGAUCUUCUUCAUAACCAUGAUCAUGAACUUGGAAACUAGCUUCAACUCCAUGGAAACCAUCAACACCACCAUGCAUCUCAAUCAUGGCAUCCCAAUUGAAGCUACUAUUCUCACCAAAUGGAAGCAACUCAUCAUAAUAAUCUUUCAUCGUUGAAUCCAUUGCUGUUAAAGUACUCUCAGCAUCAUCAUUGUUAUUAACAACAGCUUCUUCUUCACAUUGCUUUUUUUCAUCUUUUUUUAUCCCCAAUUGUUGAAGAAACUCAUGCAAAUCAAUCUGUGGCUUAUCUGAUGAAACCCCAACAUCUUUCUCUUUCAUUUGAACAUCAUCAGCUAUGUUUUUGCUUUGGGUAUCUGUUUUUGUUUUCAAAACCCCAUUGUUUUUAAGUUCUUGAAGCCUCUGGUGAAUAACAUGAACACUAGGCUGAGCAUUUAUGUUGAGCAAACCAGGGGAAGAAGAAGGGAACAUGGAGACGAAGUUGUUUGAUGGGAUCCAUUUGAACUUUUGUGUCGACGAUUUGUUGGAUAAGUUGGUGGUGGUAGUGGUGGGGAUUCGUUGAAGGUGAGGGAGGUUGAGGUAAGCUUCCGGGCCGUACAACCUCCUAGCGGCGUCAUCGUAAGCCAUGGCGGCUUCUUCGGAGGUGGCGAAUGAGCCUAACCAUAGCCUGGUUCGUUUCUUGGGUUCCCUUAUUUCGGCAACCCAUUUGCCCCACGUACGUUGACGGACACCACGGUACUGGCACGAUGCGUUCUGUGGACCACCUUUGCCUCGUGUUGGACCUUUCUUCCAUGGCUUCAAUGGCGAUCGUUUGUAGCUGUCCAUAGAAGGAGAUGAGUGAGUGAGUUAGUGAGCGAGUGAAGAUGUUGAACCAUGGGAGUGAAUGGCGCGGGGAUUUGUAGUGGGAAGUGUAGUUUGGUUUUAAAUGUUUUCACGUUAUGCGAAAAACAAUUCAAGCUCCUGUGACCGUUACCAGGGAGCUACAUUAUUUUUUCAACAUACCCAACUUAAAUAUCUAGCCAAAAACUUAAAUACCAAAAAUAUUUCUUAAUUGGAUAAAUCUCAAGAUCGGACUAAUUUGGGAUCGGAUUAUUUAAGGUGUUCUGUUCAAAAUUUGAAUCAUUUUGAGUUACUUGUAUGCUUGUAGAUUCUUUCGAGUUCAGGUCAUUACGAGUUUAAACUAUUGACUUUUUAUUAUUAAAUUGAGUUAGGUUGAACUAGAAUUGACCAAGUUGGAUUUUCACAUUGAUAUUAUUUUAAAUUUAAUUUAGACAAAUCUGAACGAUUAACUUUUUUAUUAUCGAAUUGAAUCGAGUUUAGAUUGAAUUUUCGAAUUUAAAGCCACAUCAAUAAAUCUAAUUUAAUUGAUUCGUAUAGAUAUAAAUGACUAAUUUAAGAUUCAAAGUAUACGUGGCCAUGGACUAAAUAAUCACUUACCCACAUUUGUUUUUCAAUAUCUUUAAUAAAGUCAAGCUCUAAUUAAUAUUAAAACUAGUUUUAUAUUUCUAUUAAAUUUAAAUUUAAAUAUAAUAUUUUAGCCCUUCAUUAGAAAUUCAGAUUGACCGGAAAUAAAAAGAUUAUCCAAAGUCCAACUAUGAUCUUAAUUUUUGAUGGAUUUAGGGUUUAGGUUUUCCUUAAAUUUAAAAAUAAUUCUUAUUAAAGUUAAAUUUUAAAGAUAAUUCUUGUAAUUAUCGGUUUGCAUUAAUUUAAUUAGUCCCCAUUUUUAUUUGCUCAAAAAAAAUUUAUUUUUAACUUUUCAAAUCAGUCCUUUUCAAUUCUUGAGAUAACCUUUUCCGUUAAUUUCAUUUAAAAAUCAAGCAAAUUUACAGGUUUAGAUCUCAACUUUUAUAGUUUUUUUAUCAAUUUAUCCCUUACUUUUCCUUAACCUUUUAUUUAUCAUGAAAUUGGACAAAUUCUAUUACGAUUUAACUAGAAAUUACAUUAAAUACUAACAUGAUAAUCUAUGUGAUGGUCUACAUAUAUUUCAGUUGAAAUAUCACUAUCUUAUAUUAUAUGUUAUGUCAAUAAAUAUUUUAUACUUCAAAUUUCACAAUAAAAUAUGAAAAGGAAAAAAAAUCAAGAUUAAAACUCAAAAAGUACAUAAAAUUGAUCCCUCUACUAUUCAAAUUUCACUUUUUAGUCCUUUCGGUAACUCUUUUUUGUUAACAUCAUUUAAAUAUGAUGUGUUUUUUUUUGUAUUUUACAUGUCAUUAUUUGACUAGUAUAUAUAUUUGUAUAUGCAUAUACAAAUAAUUUGAUUUUAAAAAGUAAAAAAGAAAAAUUAUGUGCUCGUUACAUUUUUACUACUUUUAUAAAUUUGAAGAGAUUUUAUUUUCUAUUUGUAAUUUUGGGAAAUUUUUAUAAAAUUUUUAUUUUUUUAGAUUUUUGUUUUUAUAAAUUUUAAUUAUUUGCUUAUGUGAUAUAUAAGAUAAAGUAGUGACACAUCGACUAUGAAAUAUAGGUGAAAAUAUAGGUGAAGUAUCAUGUAAGCUGUCAUGUGCAACACUUGCUGCAAUUUAUAAUGGUUCCUUCAAAUUGUAAUGGAAUUUGUUCAAUUUGAGAAAAAGAAAAGGAGUAAGGGCCAAUUUAAGAGAAAAAAAUAAUGAGUAUGGGUCAAAUUGAAAAGAUUAUAAAAGUUUAGUACUAACUUUGCAAUUAUACCUAAUUUUUAAACUAAAGAAAUCUAUUUCGAGCAAAUAAAAACACAAACGAUCAGUGGCGAAAUUAAGGGAGCUGGCAAGGCCCCAGCCCCCUAUAAUGAAAAAUUUUCUAUAUGGUCCCUCUAAAAUUUUUAAAAUUUUAAAUUAGUAAAGGUAAAAUUGUACUUUAGCCCCCCUAAAAAUAUAAAAAAUUGAUUUAAUUCUUUAAAAAUGAUAAAGAUAUAGUCUAUUAAAAUGGUAGAAUUGCAUUUUUUCUAUCGUAAAAAUUAUAAUUUAUUUUCAGCCCCUAAAAAAUUUUCUGGUUUCGUCCUUGUGAACUAUCCUUAAAUUUUAACUUAGUCCCAAACCAAGACAAUAAGCAAACAUAUACUACCUAUCUUGUCUUUCAUGGGUUAAUUAUGAUUAUACAGUCGAUUAUACCAUGUCAAACGUAAUAAAUAUUAUCAUAAUCAAUUACAAAAAACAUCAACAAAAAUAGAAAAAUGAUGUAAAAUUUUCAUGGAUGGAUGGGGGACCAGCAAUUAAUUUAUAUCAUCUCCCUAGGAUUCUUCCGAAAGGAUUGUAUUGUAGUAAAUAAGUAUGUGCUGGUGUAAAAGUAAAACAUGUGGAAUAAAUCCACCUCACAACAUUGUAGGCAAUCACGAGCCCAUUCCCCGCCCAAGCCAGCAGCACUACUACUACUACUACUACUACUACUUCACAUGUUUUGCUGCCAUUAUCGACCUGUGAUUCUCGAGGACUUCACCUUUUUCCCAUGCUACCAUCCCUCUCUCUCUAUUUCUCUCUCUUUAACGUCUCUAUAUUCCUAAUGAAUGUCACAUGUUGAAUUGGUUUUUGCUAUUAGUAUUCAUGCACUAUACUGUGUUUUUUUUUUUACUGCUAGCUCUAUGCAUGUAUGCAUUUACCAGGUCAAGAGCUUUGUAUGGGGGAUUGGAGGGGUGAAAAGAGAAAUUCGGCUUUCGGGAGGGGGGGGGGAGGGGAGAUGAAAACUUUUAAAAGUUUGGAGGGGUUGAAGGUAAAAAUUUUAUUUAAGGCUUAAAUUGAAUGUUUUAUAAUUGGGAGGGACUAAAGUUGCUAUUAGUACAUUUAAUCAAAGGAGCCCAAGACCCUGCCCCUUUCUAGGCCUUUGGGGCGAAGCCAAAAUUUGGUUUUGAGAAGGGCAAAAUAAAAUUUUUAAAAGUUUGGAGGGGCUGAAGGUAAAAUUUUUAUUUAAGUAGGGUUUAAAUUGAAUGUUUUGUAAUCGGGAGUGUACAUGUUUAUGGGUUGGAUCAUUUAUCUAAAUUUGAAGGCCCGCCUGAAAUUUAAGAAGAUUUUGACAAAAAUAUUAGAUUCGAAAAAUGGGUAUCGGCAAAAAGAUUAGGCUCGUUUCAAAUAUGAGUAAGGCUUGGGUUCGAACAUUUAAAACUUGCCCCAACUCAUUUUCAAUUUUUAUAAUGUAAUAUAUAAUAAUUUUUUUGAACAAUCUCAUUAUAAAUUUUGAUCAUAUCUACUUUUUUUUACACAAAUAAUACCUAAAACACAAAAAUUAAAUCUAUAAUAAUAUAUAAUACUAUAUUAUAAGUGGUGUUUGCUAUUAGUAUUGAUGCACUACAUUGUUUUUUUACCGCGAACUAUACGCGUGUUGCAAAGUCAAGAAUUUUACAAAGAUGUUGGCAGGGUGAAAUUAGAAAAUUGAUUUUCUGGGAGGAAAAAUGAAAAUUUUAAAGUUUGAAAGGUUGAAAGUAAAAUUUAUUUCGAAUAAAGUUUAAAUUGCAUAGUUUAUAAUUUGGGAGGGACUAAAGUUGCUAUUAGUCCAUUUAAUCGAAGGAGCACGAGCCCCUUCCCCUUUGCUACGCCCUUGGGGAUUGGGAUAAAAAUAAAUCACAUUUAAAUUUUGGGCAAGUAUUUGGUACAUUAGCAGUAUUUUUUUUAUUUCACAAGUAAUUUUAUAAAAUUAGCAUGUGUCUAAACUUUAUAAGACACUUGUCAACCGUUUAACGCUGUUUGUAGAGUUUAAAAACUCUGCAAUGUACCAACUAUUAUUCCUAAAUCUUUUAGAGGGUUAAAAUAUUUUUUUACCUUUCCUGUAUAUAGGAUUAUUAUGAGGUAAAUUCAUGGUAAAAAUUAAAAAAAUUUCAAUAAAUUGUCAUAUUGUUUUUAUGUUUAAUAUAGAAUAAGGAUACCUACAAGUCAUGGUUAGAAAUAGAAAAUAUCUAAUUAUAAUUUUUGGAGGUUUUUUAUCAAAAUUUUUAAUGCAAUUAAGUAUUAAAAUAUUAAGAAAUUUUGUAAUUAUAAUAUUUUUAUUUAUUAUAAUAUAUUUUAAUUAAUUUAAUUAAAAUUUAAAUUAUAUUAGAGCUUGAUAUAAAUGUAAGCUAAAAUAUUUUGUCAUUCGAGUUUGAUACUAAUACGAGGAAGUUGGGCCAUUAGGUAGGUGUCUUCCAUAUGUUGACCAAGUUAAAUUUGGUUGUGAGCAAUUUAUUUGGGCUUUAAUUUCUUUGGGCCUAACAAAUUCUCAAGCUUGGAAUUUUAUUUAUUUAUUUAAUUUUUUUUUGUACAUAAUUCUAGAACAUCUAAAUGUUAAUGUUUUUUUCUUUUUCUAAAUACAAUGUUUAGGAAUUAGUUACAGUUCCUUCCCAAUCUUUAAAUAAGAGGACAAUGCAUUUUAAUGCCUCAAAUCUACAUCCUUCCGCUAGGGGGGUUUUGGCCCCAUAAAAAUGAAAAUUUUGUGUUUUAUCUUUCUAAAAUUUAAAAAAUUAUAAGUUAAUACACAAAAAAAUUAAAUUUUGACCUCAAAAAUGAUAAAAUUAUGAUUUAAAUUUUUCAAAAAAUAUAAGUUAUAAGCUUAAAGAAAAUUUACAUUUCUUCUUCCAUAAAAUUUCUUUUUGUAAUAAAUUGGUAAACUUCCAUAAAUUUUAUAAAAAAACAAAACAAAAUAAAAUCCAUCUUAUAAAAGGAUUUACAAAAAAGAGGAUAUCCGAUAGUGAAAUAUAUAUAGUAAACAAACAAUUUCCUUGCCCAAUUUAGGACUAGUUGUUAAAAAUAAAAUUAAAAAAAUUAUAUUAAUAUCCAUUUAUUUUAUAAUCAAUUUUAAAUAAAAAUUUGUACUAUCAAAUAUGAUUUGGAUCAAACCAUUUAAUCAUGUAUGAAUUAAUAAAAUUCAUAAUUAAGAUUUGAUCCAUGUCGAGUCGAGUGAGUAACUUGACAUUAUAUAAUCGACUAGCUAGUUAUGAAUUAACGAAAUCUCAAUCUAAGAUUUAGUCCAUAUCGAAUUGAGUGAGUAAGUUAUACAUAUAAUUAAUAAGCAGAUUAUGAAUUAAUGAAUUAAAAAUCUAAAAUUUGAUUCAUCAAUUGCAUAACCUGAUACUAUUAUAUGUAAAAUGGGAAAAUUGGAUAUGAAUUAAGGAAAUUAGUAAAUAAGAUUUGGUCCAUAUCGAGCUGAAUUCGAUUAGACAUUUAGCAAUCUUCAUCAAACCGUGUUUCCAACCAUAUCAAAAAGAUUUGGUAGAGUUUUGGAAUAAACUUUUAAUUUUUCAUUUCGGUGGUAGUAGUUAAUUGCUGCUGUAAGAUUUCAUUGGAUUUUACUUGAGAAAAAAAUAUAGUUUGAAAACUUUUUCCCCAAAUAACCCAAAUUGUUAAAUCAAAACCCUUUCCGACUUGCUAUAUAUCGAAGCAGAUCCCUUAAUUCAUUCACAAUUCACCAUCUUCAUCAAGUUUACCAACAUACACAUCCCAUUUUAGCACCUGAAAUGGCUCGAACAAGAAAGCUGAGAAGAUGGCACCGACGACGACAAAGGCAAGAGCUCGAAAGGGGUAGCGAUUCGGGGUCGUCCACGGAUAACAAUGGGGUUCGAGUUUUGCAAAGUGGUCAUGGCUGUUGUACUCCAAAGGGACAAAGAUUCAAAAUACCAGAGAUAUUGGCUUGUCCGCCAGCUCCGAUGAAACCCAAAGUUGCACCAAAGUUAUCAUCCAAUAGGACUUUCUUUGCUUCACAAGAUAUGGAGAGUUUCUUCUUUCUUGCAUUUCAAAAAUGUCAUUAGUUCUUCCCUUAUUUAAAUCCCAAAGUCAUCAGCUUUUAGUGUGCUGGUUCAGCUUGUUAAAAUUAAAAGUGCUAAAUCUUUCACGUAAUGUUAUAUAUUUUGCUCUCCGGAGUUUAACUUACAUUAGAACAAUCUUUGAAUAUCAAGAUUUAAGCGUAUAAUAAAAUUAGCUAUUUCAUAGUUUAUUCGUAAAAUACUCAAAUUCAAAAUCUUAAGUUUCAACUCCAAUCCAAAACUUGAAACCCUAAAGUUUUUUAAUCUCUUUGAUUCAUAAUUUCAAUCCUAAACCCUAACUAUAACCCUAAACUUUGAGUAUUACUUUAUUAUUAUUGAUUAAUUUUUAUUUAAUUAAUUAAAAAUAAAAUAUUCUUUUGAAAAAAAUAAAAAUAAAAUAAAACAAUUAAGGAUAAAAUAUUAUCAUGGAGAAUUGAUUUUGUGAUAUAAAAUAUUUGACAUCAAAUAAUAAUCUUUUAAAAAUAUAUGAAAUGUAAAAUAUUAUUGGGAGGAAUUGGUUUGGUGAUAUAGGAUAUAUGAUAUUAAUUAAUAAACAUUUACAAAUAUAUGGUUAAAAAUUUGCCUUUUAUGCUCAUCUUACAUCAGAUUUUAUUAUUAGUCUUUAUACUCUGCAUAAGUUGUGGAUUUAGUCUCUAUAUUUUAAUCUGAUCAAUGUUACUCUAUAUUCUAUUCGAACUGGUCAAUUUUAGUCUCUGCGCUUUUCAAAUUUUGAAAUUUCACUUCUAAUCAAAUGGUAGCAGUCAAAUCCAUUUGGUUAAAUUUUGCCAUCAAUCUUGUACCAUGCCUAAAAUUGUGAAUUUAAUCCAUUUUCUUCAAUUAGAUCAUUCUUAGCCUCUAUAUUUUCGAAUUUAAAAUUUUUAAUCUUGAUGCAAAUGAUAGAAAUUAAUCAAUAAAUUUUUCGUGAGUAAUAAAUGUAGAAAUAGCAAGCUAAUAUGAUAUUACAUAUGUUGUAAUAUGUUUACCAUAUCAAAUUUUAGAAAUAGCAGAAUUUAACUUAAUAAAUUUAAUAGUUAUUGUUUAGUCAUGAUUGAAAUUUUAAAUUUUAAAAAGCACAAGGACUAAGAAUGACCAAAUUAAAGUGUAGGGAUUGAAUCCACAACUUACAUAUAGCAUGAGAACUAACGGAAGAACUUAACCUAAUAUAAUUUAAACUAAUUCAAAUUUUGUUAUUAGUCCAUAUACUAUGCAUAAGUUGCAAAUUUAGCCCAUGUACUCAAUUUUGAUUUUUUUUAUCUUUUUUUAUAUUUAAAAUUUCAGUCCUAACCCAAAUAGUAGCAAUUAAAUUUGUUACAUCAAAUUCUGGUAUUAGCUCGUACUUAUGUACGUUGUCGAUUUAGUCUUUGUUCUUCAAUUUGAUCAUAUUUAUACUUAUACUUUUUAAAAUUUGACAUUUUAGUCCCAACUCAAAUAAUAAUCAUUAAACCCAUUAACUAAAAUAAUAUGACCUUUCUAUGAUUAUUAUUUGGAAAUAGAAAGCUAUUGUGGAAUCACAAAUGUGAUAAUAUGUUUAUCAAAUAAUAUUUUGGAAACAGAAGAAUUUCACUUAACAAAUUUAACUGCUAUUAUUAGAUGAUGACUAAAAUAGAUAUCAAAUCUACAACUUAUACAUAAUACAGGGACUAAUGACAAAAAUCGACCUUUAAAUUAUUUUCUAUCCAAUGGGUUUUUCUCUCACAUCAUGUUCACUUUUUUUCUUUAAACAAUUUCAUUAUAGGUUUUAAUCAUAUCUAUUCUUUUUGACACAAUAGUCCCUCCCCAACCCAUAAGUAGGAGAAUAAUGUGCUUCAUCGUACUCGAACUCACAUUUUCCUCUACACUGGAAUUAAAGUAUUUAGUGAUACCAAAUAAUUUACAAUGUGUUGCAUGUUAAGGAUGGAUUGCUAUCACGUAAAUUCAAAAAAGGAAAAAAAGAAAAUAAAAAAAUGAGAGUAGUUGUUUAGCUGUUGCUUUCUUGUAGAGCAAAUUUAAAAUUAUUGAGUUUUAGUUAGGGUCAACUAUAUAAAGAAACAUAAUGGAAGAAAAGAAAGCUACUUUUGAAUGUGAGGAGCUUACAUUUUGAUUCAAUAUUCUUUACCUUUUUCGCCACUUUCCUUCAUACCCUUUUUCCUCUUUGAUUGGGACAUUCAUCAUCAUCUAACCUAAUCUUGCUGCUAGCUUUCAUGCACAUGUAAUUAAGCAACCUAGAUUCCUUUGCUUGUGUUGUUUCACAUUGUUUCGGUUAAAUUCGAUUUGGUUUAUUUAAUUGUGAAAAUUUAUUAUGAAAAGAUAAAAUCAAUCCGAUCUGGUAUCAUUCUAUAAACCAAAAAUAAAUGAGGGGCCUAGUUUUUGAACCAAGUUAUAACCAUUGGCAAGGCCCGGUCCCCUUCUAAAAUGGAAAAUUUUUCAUUUAGGCUAUUUAUAAUUUAUAAAAUUUUGAUUUAAUCCUCUAAAAAUUAUAAAUAUAUAGUCUAUUAAAAUGCAGAUAAUUUUACUAUCAUAAAAAUAUAUAAUUUAAUUCUGCCCCUAAAAAAAAUUUAUGACUUUGCCCCUGCCCUCCUAAGUUAUAUUUUUAGAUCCACCACUAACCACAGGUAUUAUCCUUAGGGACAAUGCCAAAAAAUUCAUUUCAAGGGCCAAAAUUAAGUUAUAAAUUUUGAUAAGAGUUCAAAUGCAAUUUCACCAUUGUAAACUAAUAUAUUUACCAUCUCUAAAUGACUAAAUUAAAAUUUUGUCUUUUGGGGGGCCAAAAUACAAUUUUACCAUUACUAAUUUGUAAUUUUAUACAUUUAAUGGAUAAAAAUGUAAAUUUCUAAUUUUUGGGAGGGUUAGGGCUCCUGUCUCCCCCCUCCCACGGUCCCUAAUUAUCCUUUCAUCGAGGAGGCUUCUCUUGAAUCUCACAAGCUUUGGCUCUCCCUUGCCAGAAUGUAAGAACUUUAAAGGCCAUCCCACCUUUAGAUAGAAAACAUAACCAAUAUUUUUAAUUUUAUUUUAUAUAAUAAUUUAAACUAUCCAAUAAUAUAAAUAUAAAAUAAAAUAAUAAAUCAUAUAAAAUAAUUUUAGUAUAUUUGUAUAAAUAAUUUAUUUUUUAAUAAAAAUCAAUAUGUUAAUUUUAUUUUUAAAAAAUUUAGAAUAGAGUCUACCAAAUACUUACCUAACCCUAAUUCCUUCAUUUGGGGAAAAAAAAUUCCCCCAUUCUCCAUCAUAAUUCUAUUGUUUUCUACCCUAAAAAAAUGUUCUACUGUUUUCUUAAUCUUUCUAUGUUGUUUCUAUUUUUAAGAUAUUAUAUAGCAUUGAAAUUCUUGAAACAAUGUGAUUUUUUUUUAAAGAUAAUGAAUUAUGAAAAUUUAGAUUAAUUCUUUCUUUUUAAUAAAUUUUCUUAAUGCAAAGUGUACUUUGUUUAUGUUUAUCAGUUCGGAUGUAGUUCAAGUAAAAUUGAUAGUUAUUUGAGAGGAUUUGAAUAAAAAUAUUAGAUUAAAAAAAUUAUUUGUGUAAAAAUAAUAAUAAUCAAAGUUUGUUUAAAAUGUAGUCGGAGCUUAAAUUUCAAUUUUCAAAUCAAAUCUCUAGGUUAGUCUCACACAACUCAUUUUUCAAGUUUAUAUUAUGUUAACCUUUUUUUUUUAAAAGGAAACAACAUAAAAGUAAUUACAUUAAAAUAGUCUACUAUUAAGUGAUAUCAGCUAAGUAGCCAAUAUCCGACUUGAGUAACACUUCUGUCGAAAUCAAGGCUUCAGUAUAAACUUGCAUCUCAUUGUAAUUUGAACUUGCAAUUUAGUCAUGAUCAGCAGUUUUAUUGUAGUCCCUAAAAAUGUGUCGAGAACAUACUCCCCAAUUACGACUCAAGAAAUGAUGAAUCAAUCGUAGCUCCAACAUCCAACUAUUUGCCACACCACCAGCUAAAAUAGUUUCCAAUUAAAAUAGUUUGUUUAAUUGGUAUAGACAGUGAGAAUAGAGAAGGUCAUACAUCAGUGAGUUGAAUGGUCUAGUAAUUUAAAUAAAAACUUUUAAAUAGUUUAACGACUAUCUUGUAACUUUUUAAAAAUUAAAUGAUUAAAACGUAACUUAGUAAUAAUUUAAUGGGCUUAAAUGAUAUGACCCCUUUUCGACACUUUGUUCAUUGAGAUGGAGAUAUAGAUGGGCAUUAAUGGUUUAGGUAUAUUGUGUAUGUCAGAGAAAGUGACAAGUGACAAGGGGAAUCCAAUGUAAUGAAUACUUCCAACUUCAUACAACAUUUUGUCUUCUCACGUUAAUUUAUUUCGUUUGUUUAACUCAUUCUUUUAAUAUUUUAUUGAAUAUUAUUUUGUUUUUUAUUUUAGUUAUUUUUUACAUUUAAUUUAAGAAAAGUGAUGCAUUAAUUUAUACAUUUCCUUUUCCUUUUUUUCUUAAAUGUACUUCUCUUUUUCUAUAUAUCACCUUGACUCAUGUUAAUAGAUAUUGUUUAAUAUUUUUUAUUGGUCAAUUUAUUUGAGAGGUCCCUCUAAUGUAGAUAUCUGAUCAAAUUAAUCUCUGUAUUAUUAAAAAGAAUCAAAUAAGGCCAAGUUGGAAUAGAAUUAACAUUUACUAGUUUAAAAAAUAUCAUUUAUUAUUUAGCAGAGUUAAUAUUUUUAAGUUUUUAUGGUUCUAUAAAUGAAAUCUUUUGUUUGGAAUUGAACUGUGAUUGAAAAAAUAAUUCUUAACACAUUUUUAUAUAGUAAAUGUUUAAUCUAUUAUAAUUUAGACUCAUUUGAUUUUUUUAAUAGUAUAGGGACUAGAUUGAUUCAUUUAACAACAGAGGGACUAAUUUGAUCUAAUCCCUAUGAUACAGGGAUCUCAAGUAUUGGUUGCAGAAAAAUUUUUGAAUUUGAAACUAUAAUGAAAAUAAUAAUAAUAAUAAUAAUAAUAAUAUUUAAAAGUUUUAAGUAUGGUGAAAAUUAGUUAAAAAAAAGUAUGGUGAAAAAAAUAGGGUAGAUUAUAAAAAUCGUCACCCAAUUAGGAUUAUAUUCCUGUUUUGGUCAUCCAACUUUAAGAAAUUUGAGCUGGAGGUUGAGAUUUUAAUUUAAUUAGUUGAUUUUUUUCGUUUUGUGGAAAAUUAAAAGGAGAUUUCAGAAUUUCACAAUUAAAUGCUUUGAUUUUAUUAGUAUUUAUAAGUAUCAAUUACAAUCUUCACUUAAAAUAUAUAUUUGAAAUUAAAAUCAAGUAAUAAAAAUAUGAGAGAUCAAUAAGCUACAAUUUCAUCAUUUAACAAAAUAUUUUUAAUAAUUGUUAAUAAAAUAUUACCAAAAAUCUGUUCAAAUAUAGUAAAUAUUAUAAUUCAUCGAAUAAAUUAAACCGUUUUAAUCUUAUAUUUGUUUGUUUACUAUUAAAUAUAAAUGUUAAAAAAUUAAUAUAAACUCGACCCAUGAAGGGUUCUAAUUUUUAACUUAAUACUUAUAUUUAAAUAUUUUACUGUAUUGGUGUCAUUCUUAGCCGGGCUACCCGUUCAGUUAUGAAAUUACAGAAAUGUCGAUUCUUUUAAAUUAUAAUUAAUAUUAUUUUGAUAACAAUUUUAUCUUUUUAUACUUUUAUAUCAUAUUUAAAUAAGAGAUUUAAAAAUUAUAAAUUCAAAGAUCGAACGCCUGUUCAGUAGUAUUAAAAUAUAAAUUCAUUAUCACGUCACCUAUCAUCAUUAUUCAAUAAAUUUUAAUAGGAAAUAUUUUGACAUUAUUAUUGAUUUCAUGUUAAUGUGCUUCACUAAAAUAAUUAAUAUUUUUAAAAUAUUUUCGAAGGAACAAUGUAAUAAUAAUUUGAAUGUAAAGAGUUAUUUUAAAUGCUAGGGCUCCAAAUAAGCCCAAUAUUAAUAAGAAAUACAUUAGAGCACGUGCACAAAGGCCCAAUUCACAUACGAAUAAAAAUAUCGCUUUAAUGAAAUUUAAUUGCUUAAAUACUCCUUGAGAAUUUAAUAUUUCUUGAAAUUUUUUCUAUAUAUAAAUAUAAAUAUUUUUUUAUUUUUCUAAGUUAAAUUUUUAUUAUUUUAAACAAUACGAGCAAUUCAAUCUUAUUUACAAGGAAAAGUAGAUCAAUUGGUCGAGUUGGAUUGAUUUCAGGCCGAGUUAAUCUAGUUCUAGUUAAUUCGAACUUUGAAACUUUUGGGUACUUUUGAUUCAGGCUGCUUUAGGUUUUGAUCAUUUGGAUUUGAGAGUCUGUUUUUUCAAGUCAGGUUAGUUCAAAAUUCAUUUUGGGUUCUAAUAUGGUAGGUUGGGAUCAUUUUUGGUUAGUUGUUCAUACUAAAUUGAGACUAUUUUUAGAUCUUUUGAAUUGGUAAAAUGAUAAAUUUAAUCUUUAACUUUUAUAUAUUUCGUUAAUUUUGUCUUUAUUCUUCUUUUUUUAACUAAAUUUAGCCAUUAACCAUUAAAAAAAAGUCAAAUUGUCUUUUUUAACAAAAAUACUAACUAAAAUAUUAAUGUUUUAAUGAAGUUGGCAUGACAGCCUACAUGAUAAUCGACGUGUACUUCAUAUUAACAUGACAUUAUUUGUCUUAUAUGUCACAUAAAUAAAAAUUAUAAAAAUAUUUUUUUAAAAAUUCAAAAUAAAUAUAAAAAGUUUAUAAAAUUCAGAAAAAAUUAACAUGAAGUACACAUGGAUUACCAUGCAAGCUGGCAUGUUUAAAAAUUUAACGUUUUAGUCAAUAUUUAUAUUAAAAAAGUAGCAAGUCUACUCUUUUUGAAAGGUUGAUGGUCAAAUUAGACUCUUUCUAAAAUGUUAAGGGUCAAAUUUAACUAAAAAACAAGGGCCAAAUCGAUAAAAAAAUAUAAAAACAUUAAAGCUAAAUUUGUUAUUAUGCUUUUCAUUUUUUUUAACAUAAUCUCAUUAUAGGUUCUUAUCAUAUUCGCUCUUUUCAAUACAAGGCUUAUAACUACCCAUAGCCCCUCCCCAAUCCUUAAAUACGAGGAUAAUGCGUUUCAGUGCACUCAAAUCCGCGUUCUCCUACCAAUUACCAAUGUCAAUUGAGCUAAAACUAAAUCGAUAAUUAUGUGUGAUUUGCUCAAUUAAUUAAUUUGUUUAAGCCAAAUUAAUUGUUGAAAUAAUUAUUUAAUUUAUUAGUUAUAAUGAUUGGUUUUAAUUGUAAUAAUAUUUGUUAUAUGAUCUCUUAUUCCAAAUUCCCUUCCAAAAUUAUAAAAUAAUAAUAUAAAAAAUUGCACAUAAAUUCAAAAUUCUAGAUAAUUAUCAACCAUACUUAGAAAAUAUUUUCCCAAUCAACAAUACUUAAUUACAUUGAAUAUACAAAAUAAUUUACCAAAGAAACAUACUUUCAAUAUUGUGAGAAUUCUUGACACAAUCAAAUCAUAUAUGAAUAGCUGCAACACUUCCCCAUCUUCAAACUAUAAACCCCAAGCUCCCAUCAUCUGUUAAACAAAACAUAAAAAUAAAAAUCCAACAUGUCAAAGAAAUUUAAAUUAAUAAAUACUAUAUAGUCUUAAUUAAUUAAUUAGGAGCAUUUUAUGUAGCCCUAGAUGAUCUAUUACUGUUGCACCUUCCUCGGACCGCGGUUUGAAUCAACACUUGCCCAACACCUUCGCCGAGCCCUUCAAUCAGCCCUCCGAUAAACUCGAUCACCACUUGAGAUGCGACCCUCACCGCGGUCCCAAACUUGCUCGACUUGGCCAUGCCCUUGAUACCAUUGGCUUCAAGCCCAUUCACCAUGUUCUUGGCACAAACUGCAUGGAGAUGGUAAUCGCAUGUGGUGCAAUGGUAAACCCUCCCCGACCUCUUGCGGUUACACUCGCCGCACGAGAAAUUAAAAGGGUCAGCGGUUGAUGGUGAGGGGAGGAGCCGUAACAUGUGUGGAUGAACCGAGAUGUUAAUUUCAGUUGAUAACAUGGCACAACAUGGGUGCAUUUGGAAACUACAAGCAUUGCAUUUGAAAACGCAUCCUUUAGUGGUCUUGGCACAAAUAUCGCACCUCGAUUUCAUUAGUCCACUUCUAACUGAAACAUUGAAUAGUUUUAUUAUAAAGUUAUUAACUAUAUUACUAUCAAAAUAAGAUAUAUUGAAAAAAAAUGUAAUUAAUUUAGCAUAUUUCAAUAUUCGAUUUGAUUGAGUUUAAAUAAACAACUUGACAAAAGUUCGAGUCCUCAUAUUUAAAUUAAUCAUUUUUAGUCUUUAUAUUUUUCAGUUUUUGAAAUUUCAAUUCUAAUCAAACAACAGUUACUAUUUUCAUUAAGUUUUGAGAUUUCCAAAAUCUUAUGCAACAAACAUAUGAUCACAUGCUAUAUCAACUUGUUAUUUCCAUAUAUUAUUUACAAAAGAGUUCAUUAAUAAAUUUAACGGUUGUCGUUUGUGUCAAAAUUAAAAUUUUAAAAAUUAUAUGGAAUAAGAUCGAUCAAAUUGAAUAAAUUAACUGAAUCUAUAACUUUAUGCAUAGUUUAGGACUAGUAGUAAAAGUUAACCAAAUGAAUUUAACUGUUACCAUUUGCAUCAAAAUUGAAAUUUUAAAAUUCGAAAAAUACAAAAACUAAAAUUGAUAAAUUCAAAAAAUACAAAAACUAAAAUUGAUCAAAUUAAAAUACAAUAACUAAAUAAACAAAUACAAAAAUUAAUAAUUCACCAUUCAUAAAAGUAGAUUAAAAAAAAAAAGAAGAAGGGCAUCUUUCCAUAGGCAAUGUAUUUUUAUGUAUAUUUGGAAAUCCAUUAGCCUUUACUAGUUAGCUAAACUAUUGCAUUAUUUUCUCUCAAACCUUCAUUGCAUUUAAGUGUAAAGUUUAUUAAUUUGAACUAGAAUUUAGUGGAUAUUCUGUUAAUUAAUCUAGAAAUUUUGGUGACAUUUAAGCUAUAAAGUACGAUGUUACGGUUUAUAUUUGGGGUUUAUGAUUAUUCCUUCCAAUAAUAUUCUUUAAUGUUCGAAAAUAUGCUCUUCUUUUAGAAAUGUAAUGUGCCUUACCCCUGUACCCAACACUUGUUAAUAUUAAAUAUUUACAAUAAUUAUAAACAAAAUUUCAAAAAGUUAAAUUUCAACUAGAAUUUAUCACUCCCACUACUAUAUAUAGGAUAGUUUAAAUAUUUUAGGCAAGUAAUUUCUUAAAUUAGUGGGCAGGUCUUUUAGAAUGUAAAUAAUUUUUUAAGACAUAAUAUAAAAAAUUAUAAUAAAAGUAUUAUUCUUAUUCUUGUUUUAAUGUUUUUUUAGUUGUAUUAAUCUUUUGGAGCUUUCGCUAAUAGAAUUGGUGUGACUCACUAAACUCAUUUAGGCAUUUUUUUUUUUUUUGAAUUUCAAGAGGAAGGUAAAGUCCUAAUCGACUGACGCGAUUCGAAUACAAGUCACACUUAGGACUGUGAACACCCUAAUCAUCAGACCAAUACACGAGGUUCUCAAUUAAGCACAUUGACAUAGAUAAUCGGAGAGUAAGAUAUUAAACUAACUUUUUAUGGCUGAUUAAGGUGAUUAUAUUGAUAUAUGAAAGACAUAUUAACCCAUUUUUUUUAAAUUUCUUUAAAGUAAUGUAUUAAAUGAAAAAGAAAUCUAAAAUGAUAAUAAAUAUACUAGUAAUGAAGGAAAGAAAAUUACCAGGUUUACGAUUCAAAAUGAUGUUGUGAAGAGGGUGGAUUGGAUGUCUCUUAAGACUAUCAGGAGCUAAAGCACAAAAAUCAUGGAGUUGAUAAUCACAUUCCGAACAAGUGAACCGUUCACCGGCACCGUACUCCUUGCAAGCGCCACAGGUGAAGAGGUCCGAGAGCCGCGUUUGGGAUAACGGAUGUUGCGGGUGAGCCGCAAGGUAGAUUGCAUCCCCUAUAGGCGGAACGUCGGGUGACGUUGGGAAUAAAUCUGCCCCAUGAGGUGACCUCCGGCUCCCCCUUCGGCUAACAAAGCCACCGCUUUGAUGAUGAUGACGAUGAUGGGGUUGAUCCAUGGGACUAUGGGACUGAUUUUUGAAGAGGAAUGAAUUGGUUUUGGCAUUGACCAUCAUCAUGCUUUUGCUCAUGUAGGGAAGUGAGUGGUGCAAUAUUUUGGACAAUUGAUGGGGGGAAUAUUUAUGAUGGAAAUUAAAGUAUUGAUACUAUUUUGCAUUGUUUUUUUUUUUAAUUUUUGAAAGAAAAAAAAAGGGACCCAAAAAAAGAUAAAUGAAGAAAAAUAAAGCCAAAAGGCAUUUAAUUAAAGAAUUGUUACUAAAAAGUUGAUAUAUUCUUUGUUUUGUUUCAUUUUUUUUCUGUAUUAGGGUUUAAGUUAAAUUAAUAUCUCACAAAUAUUAAAUCAUUAAUUCUCUUAUAAAAAAGAUAAGAUUCAUUUAGGGAUUCAAACUUUUAUGUUGAUCUUGUUAAGAAAAAAAUCAAGCAAAACAAUUCCCAAUUGUUUGUAUAAAUAAUAUUGUUGUUAUUGUUCCAAAAGUGGUAUAUGUUAUAGUAAAAGUUAUUUCUUUUAUAAGUUACGAGUGGUUAAUAGAAUAGUAUUAAAAGUCGUUGGUAGUGUAGAAACCGAUAUUAUAAAGAGUAUUUUUUAAGAAGAGGAGUCUUCUUCUUAAUUUUGAUAGAGGGUUGGUAUAAAAUGAUAUAGAGUCGAGCGAUUGCCCUGCCAAAUGAGUACCUUACUAAAUAGAAACAAAGGUAGAGUCAUGGACGGCUUUUGAUAAGUUGCAACUAAAUGUGAUAGGAUGGUACUAGGCAUGAUUGUACUUAGUGGUAAAUCUAGACGGAAUUGAAUAAUAAAUAUUUUAGAGAUCAAAACAUAAUUUUAUAAUGUAUUAAUUUCUGAUUUCAUCAUUUUUGAAGUGAUUAAACAUAAUUUCCUCUAUUUUGAGAGGUUAAAUAGUAAAUUUUCUAUCUAAUGGGACCAAAGCACCUACCUAACACUACCCCUAGAUUUGCCUUUGGUUGCAUGCACUCCAUCCCGGAGAGUUGGUGUUGGAGCUUUACGAUGUGAUUGAAUUUGACACAAGCAUGUUUUGGGUAAAUUUCCUUAAGAUUUGACAGUGAUUAUGUGGUUUCUGAGUUGAGCGAACUCUUACUUAGGGCUAGUUCUUCAUUGCUUUUGAGAAGUGCUUUUGAGAAGUGCUUUUGAAAAGUUUGGUUUAAAAUUUGAAUGUUUAGCAUUGCUGUCAAAAAGUACUUUUGAGAAAUAAAAUGUCAAUUUUAGACAUGUUUUUAUCAAGUAACAAAUAUGCAUUUAAAUAAUAUUUAAAUUAGUUAAUAUUAUUAUAUUUUAGUAAGAAUAUAAAAAAAUUAUUAUAACUUGUUGUUAAUAUUUUAAUAUAUGAAAUAUAAAUUUUAAAUAUUUUUAAGCAAUAAAUAUUAAUUAUUUAUAAAAAUGUAAUUAGAAUAUAUAAACUAUAUUUUAAAUAUUUAAAUAUAACCAUUAAAUAUUUUUAAUUAGUUUUUUUAAAAAAAGAAAAAGAAAAAUACAUGUUAUUGGAGGGGUAAAAAAUUAAUUAAGCACCAAAAAUGUUUUUGGGAGAAGAAAAGCUAAAAUUUUUAGCUUCUCCUCUUCAGAAGUGCUUUUGAAAAACACUUCUGAAAAGCUAAAAAUUUCAGCCAAAAGCAGCUUGUUCGUCACAGUUUUUAUUCCAAAAGUAUUUUUGGAGUCAAAAGUAUUUUUUUAAGCAAUGAAGAACUAACCCUUACACAACUCCAUUUAUUUGGAUAAUUAUCCUAACAUGUACAAGCCUUUCCAAGACGAGGUGAAUUAGAUAUAGUUGGAUUAUUUUUGUUCGAUUUUUUAAAUUAAUCACGUUUCCUACAUGAGCAUACUAUUAAUUUAUAAACCUUAGAUUAAAUUCAAAGAAUUGAAUUACUAAUUAAUGCAUUAUCUUUCUUUCUUUCUUUCUUUUAAAAAAAAGUUAGGUUAUGUCCCUAAAAAGCUAACAUGAAAUUUUCAAAGAAGAAGGGCCCCAUGCAACAAUUUUGAUUCUUGAUGAGGAGGACAACUCCAAAAUUGAAAAGACUAGACUUUUAGUUUAAGGGUCAUGGCCAACCAGAUAUUUUCUUUAAUUCUCUUUUUUUUUUCGAAUUUCAGAAUAUUUACAAAAUAUUAAAAUGACUUUUUUUAAACUUCCACUACUACAAUUACAAUAUAUUUACAAGUAUGGUAUAAAUAUAAAUGUAUAUCCGAUCAAUUAUAAUGCAGAACCAAAUCAAUACAAAACACAACAGAUGAAAGACUCAAAAGAACCAGACUAAAUUGGGAAGAAUCAAACUAACAUACAAAUAUAUGCUUGACUAACUACAAUAUAGAAUCAAACUAGUACAAACCACAACAGAUGAAGAACCAAAAUGUACUAGACCAAACCUAGAAAAAUCAGACAAAACCCACGUAUAACGUACGCACAUGAUAGAACUAAAGAUUUACAAAUCGCAAUUGCACAUAGUAAACCCGAACCUGAAUACUCAAAGACCAAAAUCAACACGUAACCAACAACGAAAACCUCAUUUAAAAUAUAAUAAAAAUUACUAUUUUAUUUUUUAUAUAAUAAAAUCCUCUUUAAACAUUCUAUCUUUACAAGUUAGACUUUUCAAACCGAGUGAAUAACCCAUCUUUCAAGUAAGAAUUCAUAAUAUAUAUAUAUUGAAAGGUCUUUAUAUUGUUUUUAUUAAUAUUAUUAUUAAAUACAACUAUUACAUAAAUAGUUUCUAUUAAAUUAAUCAUUAUAAUUAUUAAAUUAAAUAAUUUAAGUAAAUUAAAUUAAAUUUUAUUAAUUACUCUAAAAUUAUUAUUAUUAUUAUUAUUAUUAACUGUUUUUGGAUACCAUUGGCAACAAAGUCAAGGGUUUUUCUUUUCUCUUGUUUUUUAGAGUCAUUGUAGAAAUUUAAAAAAACGUGUUGGGACACUAGUGUUGUGUUGCAUGUCGUGCAAAGAUUCACUUUACGUGUCCCGUAGACGACCAUAUACAUGUGUUCAAAUAUAUUUCUAAGUCCUUAUAUUUUUUAUAAGUUUGACAUUUAUUUCCUUAUACUUUUUGUAUUUUAAAAUUCAAGUGCAUUAAUUCUUAACUUAUCUUAAAAUUCUUCAAUCAAAUUCGUAGUUAUGAACUUUUGAAAGUAAAAAAUACUUACUCAAAUAACAUUAUAAUAAACUUAAAUUUAACAUAAAAAAAACUAACAGAAUUUAAGGACUUAUAGCACAAUUUAACCCAUAUAUAUUAUGUAUAUAUAGAAGAAAAGAAUCCAAAUCCUUUUUAAGAGUUGUCAAUAUUCGAUAUGUAUAUAUAUAAAGUUAGCAAAGAAAGAAAAAAAAAAACAUGGCAGCCUAAAAAAAAAAACAUGGCAGCCUUUUUGUUAUUUUAUUUUAUUGAAUCAAAAUGGUAAUAAAUAGCUGCAGAAUCAUGGAAAAUUUAGAGAAGUCAUCAUCUCCCAUAUCUUGAAGUCUCCAUCUCUUAUUAAAUAUGUUUAUUUUAGAAUUUGGGGAAUCUUUUGUGCAGCAAAUUUAAUAGGUUGCUUUUUCUCUAUCACCUUGACUAAGUGUCACAUUUGAUUCCUCAAUUAUUUGUUUGAGAUUGCUAAGUAAUGCUCCAACUUUAUAUCUCCUAAAUUCAUCACAUUUAACUAAUUAUUGAGUUUAAUAUUAAUUGUAAGGUUCAAUGAAUUUCUUUUGAUAGAAUUUUAGGUUCAUGAUUAAUUUAAGGUCUAUGUAUGGUGAAGUUGAAGUGUUAAAAGAUGUAAUGAUCUUAGUUUAUUAAUGACAUUGAAACACUUUAAUUUAAUUUGAUAUAAUUUGUUUUUAUAUUUGUUAUAAACAUGAUGGUUUGAUUUUUGUUUUUGAAGAAUAUAAAUUUAUUAUUGAGUCAGCUGCGAUCAUCCAAAUAUUAAUGUUUCUAUUGUGGUCAUUCAACUAGACUUGUCUAUGGGUUGGGCAACCCAGCUCGACCUGAAGAUCUGCCCAAAAACUGAAAGGGUUUGGGAAAAGUAUAAAUCCAAAAAUGGGCUUGGGCAAAAAAUAGUAAGGCUCGUUUUACGGGCCAGACCUCAGGUAAGGUUUUUGGCCUAAGCUCGACCCGGCCCAAAUUUGAAAAAAGAAAAAAAAUAUGUUGUUUUGCUGUUGUUUUGUCACUGUUUUGUUGUCAUUUGACUAUUGUUAUUGUUUAAAUACUAUAUAACUCUUGUUUUAUUAUUAAUUUUACUACUAUUUUAGAGACAUUUGUUUGUUAAGUUGCACUUAUCUUAGUGUUAUUUAAGAAUAAAUACUUUUUAAAUUUAUUUUCAAUUUAUUGGGAAACAUUUAUUUUAAUAUUUUUAGCGUUUUUUAUAUAUUAUAUUUUUUAAAUAUAUAUAUAAAUUUAAUACGACUGAGCUAGGACUGGGUUUUAGCAUUUUUAUUCAAGUAGAGUUUGGGCGAAAUUUUAAGCCCAUUUUUUAGCCGAACCUGGCCAUGGACACCUUUACAACUAUAUAAAUAUCUCAAUUUCAUCACCAACCUUAUCAACAUUGAAUUUUGUUAUCACUCCUCCGUUAAAUCAUUAACAACAAGAUGAUGUGACCUUUUUUUAAUUAGCAUAAUAAGAAAUUUAUCCCUCCAUAUUUCAACAUUUUAAAUUAGGUCCUAAUCCUAAAAAAUUAGCCUUCAAUGUUUAUACAAUUUUCAAUUUAGUCCUAAUUCUAAAAUAUCAAGAAAAUAAAUAAGAAUUCAAAAAAAGGGGGGCUUAAAUGUCAAAAAAAGCACUUGUAAAAUAAUUAAAAUGUCACUUAAGCCCCUAAUCAGAAACUUUAAUCAAUUGAACCUUUGAAAUAUAGUUUUUCAUCGAAGCCCCUAAAAAGCCAUUAAGUGAUGAUGUGGUGCUUGAUGCAAAAAAAUAUAUAUUGAUGUGAAGGGCUUAAUUGAUUUUUUUAAUUAUUUUAUGUGGGCGUGAUUGCUUUUUAAAAAUUAUAUAUAUUACAGCCCGAUUUUCAGUGAUGUCGAAAACAGUAGUUUGAGGCCACCAAAUUCGGCGAGUAAGCUCAUAAAUUUUAUUAUUUAAUAUUUACGACUCAAAUAUGGUUUAAAAAAUUUUGAAUUAGUAAUUUAUGUCUUAUAAUUAAUUAUUAGAUUCGAGUGAUAAAACUCUAGUUUAAAUGGUUUUAGAAAACGAGGUAUCAGAACCUCAUUUCUAUAAACCAAGUCGUAAAUAUUUUUAUAAAUAUUUACGGAGUGUUAUUAAGAUAGUAUUAAAGUUUCGUUAAAAAAUUUUAAUGUUUCGACAGUUAAUUAAUUAAAAAGGACUAAACUGAAAAAGGUGAAAACUUACUAAUUAUAAUAAUAAAAUGACUAAAUGGUUUGAUUAAUAAAUAAAGAAGGACCUAAAUAGAAAUUAUGCCUAAAUGAAAAGAUUUGGCCGCAUAACAUGGAAAAAAUAAUAAAAUAAAGCCAUUAAUGGCAAAAUUGUAAUUAAAUUGAAAUUAAAAUAAAAUAAAAGUGAAAUUAGAAAGUUUCUAGGCAAUUAUUUAUUCUUCUCCCAAUUUUCGGUUCAAAAACAGACAUGGGAGAGCUCCUUGAGCUGGUUCUUCAAUUUUUCUUCAUGUGAGUUCAAUUCUUACUCGUUUCUUGUAAAUUUUAUAUUUUUGAGAUUGUUACAAUUAGGUCCAACUAAAUCAUACUGUAGUUUUUUAUUUUUUAAAAUAUUUUGAAUGUUACAAAUGAUGAAUACAUAUGAUUUUAGUUAUUAAAUGAUGAAUUUGAUAUGUUGGUUGAUAUUUAAAAGUAUUUUAUUAAGUAAUUUUGAUGAAUUUUUUGAUUAGGGACUAAUUUGUUGCAAUAGUAAAAAUACAAGGUUUUGUUGUGAAAUUAUUGCAAAAUUGGGCUGUAUUGAAUGCCAUGAAUAUUAUUCUAGCAUGUUUUUGCAUUAAAAAUGGUUAAUUUGCAUGAUUUGGGCUCAAGGACUAAAUUGAAUAAAAGCAAAAUUUUAGGGGCAAUUUUAUAAAAAUUUCAAAAAUGACCAAAUUGCAUAAAAUGAAUUGUUUUAUUAUUUAAAUUAAUAACUUGAAUGAAAUAUUAAUUUAGAUCAAGAUCGAGUAGAAAAUCGAGGGAAAUGGAAAAUUACCAAAAUGCCUAUGUAUAUUGGUAUUUCUCCAAUUUAGCCUGGUAAGUUCGUAUGAACUAUAUUCUGUAUAAUUUUGAUUAAAUUGAAUGUUAUUUGGUGAUGGAUAUUAUAUAUAUGUGUGUGUUCUAUUGUUGGAAUUGAAUUAUUAUUGGAAAUAUAUUAUUGAAUUUAAUACUUAGUUUGGAUUUAACGUGGGAUUGAGUACAAUCUUCUGUGGCAAAGGAUGAAUUGACGGAUAAGACAAUAACUGGGUUAUGGCACUAUGGACGUAAGACCAUGGUUGGACCAUGGCAGUGCUUAUAUGUAAGACCAUAGUUGGGCUAUGGCAUUCUGAUGAUAAGACCAUAACUGGGUUAUGGCACUAUAAACGUAAGACCAUGGUUGGACCAUGGCAGUGUUUAUAUGUAAGACCAUAGCUGAGAUAUGGAAUUUUGAUGAUAAUACCAUAACUGGGUUAUGACACUACAAAUGUAAAGGAUGAAUUGACGGAAAAUGUAAAGGAUGAAUUGACGGCAGAUUACCCAAGUAAACCGAGUUUCAGCAUUUGUUUUGAACUUUCGUGUUUACUUUCUAUUUAGCUUUCAUGAGCUAUUCAACCUUCGGGCUUUUGAAAACGAUGUACUCAUAUCACUAAGUCGUUCUUCGAAUGGUAAAAUUAUAGGAGUUGUAUUUUGGAUGAUAUAUGUCUAUGAAGAAACAGUAAGAGAAUGAUAUGUGUCUUGAUAUGUAUAUAUAUCAAUAUCUUGAUAUGUUGAUACAUGGAAAUUAUGUAAGUUGUGAUGAGUAAUAAACUCAAGUGUGAUAUGUUGAUAAAAUAAGUUUAUCAAUGUUGAAUUUAUAUGAAAUAUGUUCAAGUAUGCUAACAAGUGUUGUUGUUGAUGCUUAGACAAGUGCCAAGUUACUAGUUAAAUGGUAAUAUGUUUAUUAUACGAUGCAUUGAGAGGGUAAGUGCUCAAAUGAAAAUAUACUUGUGCUCAUGAAAGAGUGGUAAGUUUUUAGUUAUGCAAUUUCUUAUAAAAUGAGUUAUCGUGUGAUUAAUUCGAAAAAGGUCUAUGUUUAAAUGCACUAGCUUGUAUCUAUGGUUGAAUGAUAUACUUAUGACUGGUGUGUUAUGCAUAUGGAAUGAAUGUGGAAAGUAAAGAAAUGCAAAUGAAAAUAAAGAAAUUUUGGAAGAGUUAAAAUUGCUUAAAAUCCUACUAUGCUAGGAAUAUUAUGUAUAAAUGAUAUUGUAGAUUUAUUCACUUAGUGAGUUGUUAAAUAUAACUUCAUGAGUAUUGUGGUAGCAACAUUAGACUAUUAUUGAUAAGUAUAAAUUUUAUAUUUGAAAAGGAAGUAUUAUGAUUAAAGUUUAUACGAGCUUACUAAGCAUUCAUUGCUUAUGUGUUUGCUUUCUUCUACUUUUCAGAUUAUCGGAAGCUCGAUUGGGUUGGAAGCUUGUUGGAGAUAUAUCACACUAUCCAUUGGUUCUAUCGGUAUUUUCGAAUGUUUUGAUUUUAGUUAUAAUGGCAUGUAUAGGUAUUUUUUUUAGUGAUGGCUUAUAUGUAGUGUGUUGAGUUUAGCAACUUAUUUUGACUUAUUUUGAAUGUCUAAUUAUGACUUGUUGAUAUAUGUAAUGUUGAUUGUAGAUAGACACAAAAUUAGGUGAGAAAUAUGGUUUGUAAAAUGGUCUAUUUUCAUUCACACGGGCAGAGACACGGGCAUGUAUCCCCUACUUCUAAGAAAAUUUUUGAAAUUUUGGAAAAAAUUCUCUGAAUACCCAGUUUAGUCCCGAUUCACUUCUAAGAUGAAUAUUGGGCUUCGAAGGUCCAUUUAAGAGACAAUAUGAGUGUUAUAUAAUUGAUUCUUAAUACGUGUAACAAAAGUUGGGAAAUGUCCGUAUUUAAUUCGUAAGUUCGGUAAUGCUCCGUAACCCUGUUCCGAUAACGGAUGAGGGUUAGGGGUGUUACAAUAUAAAUAUAAAAUAGAAAAAUUUCUAAAAUUUUUAAUACUAUUUAAUAAUUUUAUAUUUUUUAUAAUUUUAUGUUUCCAUAAUAAUUUAAUAGUUUUCAAUAUUUUAAAAAUAAUAAUAAUAAGUAUUACUUUUUUUAUCACGUCGCACCACAUCAUACCUCAAUCCAUCCUUAUCAACUUUUCUCACGGCCAUUUAUUCUCAAUCAAAAUCAUUACUCAUCACUUACUUCAAGAUACCAAACACUAAACUCAUUGUCAAUUAAACUCCUCUCGUGGCAUCCCAUACAAAUUCAAUCACCUCCGUAUUUCAAACUUCUUGUUUUCUUAUUAUCAAAACCAAAAACUACAAGACUUAAAAAUAAAUACAAGCCUUAAAAAUAAAAAUUUUUCUUAUAAUUUUAAUUAUUUUAUUUUAUUUUUUAAUUUGUAGACACACAAUUUGGUGGGGGUGAAAAUUAUAUUAAGGUGGGCCACGAGACCCAUGGAUUUAACCUUAGUUGAGUGUAUGUUUUAAGCCAAUUUUGCCUACAGUCCACAUUGGGGGACUUUUAACGUGGGCUAGACCCAUUCUUGCUUGAGCUUACUUUAAUUUUAAUAAUAUAUAAUUAGAAAUUCCAUUUAAAAAUAUAAAUAUAUGUUUAAAAUUAUUAUAAAUAAAGUGUGCAUAAUAUAAAUAUAUAAUUUGACGUAUGUUUGAACACCACAGUAUGCAUAUUUUUAUUGAUUUUUUAAAUAAAAUGAUUAAAGUGUAUUCCAUUAUAGAACCUAUUUUAAUUAUGGAAAGGUAUUUCUUAAUUUUUCUAACCAAGUUAGUGACUUGAUUGACGAUGACACCAAUUUAAUAAAACGUUUAAUAAAUAAUAUAAAUAUACAAUCGAUCAAGAUAAUAAAUUGUGCAUAUUAAAAUAAAAUGCAUAAAAUACAUCAAAUUAUUUAUAAAUAUAUAAUCUAAACCCAUUUAAGGUUUGUCCAUUUUAUUUUCUAAAAAAUAUAUUUAUAUAAUUUAAUAUUUAAUAAUUUUAUAUAUUUUUAUUAAAAUAUUAUAUAGAAUCAUCUUUAAUAUUUUAUAUACUACUAUAGAUUUAAUUUUCAUAUGUUAUAAAUUACAAAAUUUAUAAAAAUAACAUAAUCUAAAACAUUACAAAUUUAAAAAAAAAAGAUUUGACUGAGUCUUGAAUGUUUAAGCCCGAGCUUGUCCCAAUUUUAAACGGGCCCACUUUUUUGCUCAAAUCUAUUUUCCGAGCAUAACAUUUUUGUCUAAACCCUUUCAAAAUUUGAAUAAACCUUCAGGUAUAGGCUGUAACCCAACACAUGAACAAGUCUAGGGCUAGAGCCCUUGCGCAGAGGCAAAUUUAGGGGGCUGGUAGGGGCCCUGGCCCCCUAAAUUGUAAAAUUGCUAUUUAGGCCCUCAAUUUUUUUAAAAAUUUUAAAUUAAUAAAUGUAAAAUUAUACUUCGGCCCCUUAAAAAUUAUAAAAAUUCGAUUCAAUCCUUUAAAAAUUAUAAAGAUAUAGACUAUAAAAAAUUAAAAUUUCAUUUGACUCCCUUAAAAAUUUAUUCUGGCUUCGCCCCUGCCCUUUCCCCUUAAAAAUUUGUUCUGGCAUCGCCCCUACCCUUUCUAGUGUUGCCCAUAGGUCGUAGACCACAGAAUCCAUUCAAAUAGAAUUAUCACAUGAUUCUCCAUGCAUUUGAACUUAACUAAAUAAUAAUCAUUUUAUUGAAAGUUAGAGGCAUAACUCGAGGGAAGUAGUGACCUUAACCCCCUUAAACUAUGGGGUAUACCAUUCAUUUUAAUGCCUUUUUUAUUAUGAAGUAUUCAAUUUAAGCCAUUCUUAAACGAAUUUUUUAGCUUUGGCCUUCUAAUCAUUUAAACUUCUAUUUUAACCCCGAUAAUGAAUUGAUGAUUUCAUCCUUGCCUAUGCCUUAUAUUUAUGGGAGCAAUAACAUGUUACAAUUUGAUUAGGAUUACGAGGCACUCACCCCCUACAAAAUUUGAGUAAAUCUCUCGAUUAAAAUAAAAAGAUAAAACCCCAACUAAAAAUAAUAUCGAAACUUUUUCAAAGUGGGACCUUCAAUAAAUCCAAACAAGGGAGAUAAUUAUUAAAAUAGAAUUGAAAUUUGAAACCCGACCCAAGUUCCAUCAAUCUUUUCGGGUCGGCAAAUUCAAUUAUUGAUCUUAGGUGAUAAAACCAUUUCCAAAGUUAUGGUAUGUGAAUGGGCCGAAGGCGAUAGGUGUCCCCACAAAUAAUUCACGCAUAUGACUUUGAUUAACCUAGAACUUCUCCAUGGGCUCAACCAUUUAUUUCCCUUAGUUAGCCCCUAAAAUUUACUGAUUUUAUCAUUUUGGUCCUUUUAACUUUUAAAUUUUAAUUAAACUUUUCUUUUUGGACAAAAAUUUGAAUAGCAUUGAAGUAGCAACCCGUGUGGCAAUGUACUUUAUUGCUAACAUAAUUCUUUUUUAUGAUUUUUUUUUAAUUUUUACGAAGUACAUGUGGAUUGUAACACAAGUUGCAGCAUCAAUACUGUUAAAAUUUUAAUUGUCCAAUCAUUUUUUAUAUAUAAAAUAACAAUCUAACUAAAAUUUAGAGUUUUUGGGCCAAAGUGAUUUAAAAGAAGAGCGAGCCCCGAAAUGGCAAAAAAAAGAUAAAUACUAAAAGGUUAAAUUUAUCUUAUUUUAAUUUUGAGCAGAUUUAAUUUGAUUCAAGUUUAAAUUAAAUAAUAUAUAUUAAAUUUAAUCAUAAAAUAUAUAGGCAUACUGACUCAGGGUGUGUUUGAUAAACCGAAAAAUUAAGUACUGAAUUUUUAUUGAUAAAUUCUAUAAGUGUUUAAUUUAUAUUAAAAAUUAUUUUGUAAAAUAAUAAAUAUAAGCAUUGAAUUUAAUUAUGUUAUUUGAUAAAAGUAAAUAUUGAUUUUUAAAAUAUUAAUGAUUUUUUAAUUUUAAUCUUAUUAACAUAAUAUUUUAUAUUAUUUUGGAUAGUUUUGUAUGAAAGAUAAAUAUAGUAUUUUGAAUAUUAAUUUUUUAAAAUAUUAAUUUUUUUAAUAAGAUAAAAUCAAUUUAAUAUUUUAAAAUUUUUGUUGAAUUUUUUAUAUUACUUAAAGAAUUAAAAUGAUUAUCAAGCACAUUUAAAAUAUUAAAUGUCAAAAUUUUUCAUUUUCAAUGAAAAGAAAAUUUUCAAUGACUUAUCAAAUACACCCUUAGUUGCCCUCCAACUUUACAAAUUAAAAAUAAAAAAUUUAUUUUAGCCUUCUAUUUAAUUUUUGCCUCUUUUAAUCAUUGAACUUGCAUUAUUUGUCAAAUCAUCUCAAAAUUGAUGGAAAAUUUAACAUAUGUUAACUUUGCUAACGUUACAUAUACAUGGAUGCCACUUCAGCAAUUAAUUAAUUUUUUAAAAUUUAAAAAAAUAUAUAAAAGUAUAUUUUUUAAAAAAAAUUAGAACACAGAAAUAUCUAAAAUGACCCAAAAGCAACAAGGGCUUUGAUUUAGGCUUUGGGUUCGCAUUUCAGCGAUUUAAUAAUAUUGCCCCCAAUAAUUCAAAAUUUUUAUUUAAGUUAUACAAUCAAGUAUACCUAGUAGCACGAGUUAGGUUUUCUAUGUCUUAGGUUUUCUAUGUCUACCUUGUUGCACGAGUUUCACUUUUGGGGUUUUUUAUUUGCUAGGGUUUUGUCAUUUGUGGGUGCGUCAUGGAAAGUCUAAAUACGGUGGAUGAAGAUUUGGCCAAUCUUAACAUUAUGAUGAAGAGGAAGAUCCCAUGGUGGUGGUAGGGGACGAUAUCGCUGUUGAUCCAGGAUAUGGGUUAUGUUUGGUAGGGCAAGUUCUCACGGAUAUUAUUGUGAAUUUUCCAACUUUAAAAAAUAAUCUGGCUAAUUUGUGGCAUCCGCUGAGAGAGGUGUCUAUCACGAAGAUUGAAGACAAGCGUAUUGUGUUCCGUUUUUAUAGCGAGAUUGAUUUGAAGCGAGUUAUGGAUGGUAUGCCAUGGUUUUUCAACUGACAGCUUAUUAUGUUCCAUAGACUGAUAAGGGGUGAGGAACCAAUUACAGUUCCUCUCUGGACUUCAGUUUUUUGGGUGCAGGUCCAUAAUUUACUGAUUCAAUUUAUAACGAAGGGGAUGGCAUGAUAGUUUGGGGACUUUAUUGGGAAAUUCUUGGAGUGUGAUGUGUUGUUGGUGACGAUGGGGUAAGCAAGUUUAUGCGGAUUAGAGUUGUAAUUGAUAUUCGACUCCUACUUAAAAGGAAGAAAUGAAUCGGCAUUGGGCAGAAUAAAUCCAUAUAUGCAUUGUUUCAAUAUGAAAAAUUAUCGCUGUUUUUUUUUUUAUGUGGCCGUCUCGGUCAUGGAGAGAGUUUCUGUCUGGUUCGAUUAACAUUAGGGAAUUAGCAAGUGGAUUUUGGCUGGGAUGUAUCGUUGAAGGCUGCGCCAAGGAGGGAAUGGCAGUUGGUGAGUAAAUGGUUGAGGGAGGAAUCAGAAAAUGAUAGGUGGGCAAGUAUGAAAAUCGAUGGGAAGAGUAAGGGAAGGAGAUUUGGUACGAAUAUAACUAAAAGAAGUGAACAUAGAGGAGGAAUGGGUUCGGUGGGGUGCUUUGUUCGACAUAUAAGGAUGCACAUAGAUAUAAGGGCUGAAAAUAGGAUGGGGCAACUUGAGGAAAGGGGAGAUGGAUCAGUGUUGGAAGAUAUGCUUGUGGAAUUUGUUGACGGGAAGAAGAGGCAGAGAUUUAAUUCAUAAGUGGAUGGUUCAGAUGACAAUAGGAGGUUAUUGAAGUUGAAAAUAGAAAAUGAAAUAUCGACGGUCACUAACAAGCUGGCCGACCCGGUGCAAUGAAAAGUUUCAGUUGGAAUAAUCGUGGCUUGGGGCAACUAUUGACAAUCAGACGUCUCAGAAACAAGUUGAGACACUUUUGGCCUCAAAUUUUGUUUCUUAUAGAAACGAAGGUUACUAGUAAACGGAUGAAGACAAUUAGACAGUAGUGUGGAUUUGAGCACGAAAUUGAUGUCGACACGGAGUGGGAUGAAGGAAAUGAUAUGGUAGUAUAGAGAUUCAUGGGCUUUUAUGGAAUGCCUGAGGAGCAUGUUAGAAACUAGUCAUGGGAUUUAUUAAGGUAUCUGAAGCAUGGGAACAAUAAGCCAUGGUUGAUUCUGAGAGAUUUUAAUGAAAUCAUGUUUUCUUUUUAAAAAAAUAAGGGGGUAGAAUUCUUGAGGAAAGACAAACGGUUAAUUUUAGGGAAGUACUAAAAGAUUGUGAGAUGAAUGAUUUAGGCUUUUCUGGGCAAUGGUACACAUGAGAGAGAGGUAGGUUGGUCAAAAAUAAUAUUAAGGAAAGACUGGACAGAGGGGUAGCUAAUCCAAACAGGUGGGAUCUUUUUUCAAGGUAUUCGAUGAGCCACUGACAAUAUAGUUUUUCAGAUCAUUGUCCGGUGGUUGUGGAUACAAAUAAGGAUGGGAGCUUGAGAUUUGGGGAGCAACAAUGGUAUGUUCGUUUUAAUGCCGAUUGGAUAUUGGAUACAGGUUUUGAUGAGCGAGUUAAACAUCGGUGGAAUUCGAAUGAACAAGAUAUUUUGGUGAAGUUGAAGGAGUUGGGGUGAGUUUGAGCAAUUGGGCAAAAAAAGAGAAAGGAUUAGGGGAACGUCGAACAACAGAAUUAAAUUCUAGACUGCUUGAAUUGAGUGCUGAUGAGAUUAGUAAUACGAUUUUGGAGGAGAUUACAGAGGUCAAAUUGGAGUUGAAUUUCAAAGCUGAUAAAGAGGAACUAUUUUGGAAACAAAGAGUGAGAAUCAAUUGGCUUCGAAUGAGGGAUAAAAAUAUGAUAUUUUUCAUAAGAGUGCUUCUUAUCGUAAGAAAAAAGAGUAUGAUUAAGGGGCUAGAGAGUGUUUCUGGGAAUUGGGUUAAUGGUUUUAACGAGAUAUCUAAAAUUACUACAGGUUAUUUUAAAGAUUUGUUUUCGUCAAAAGAGGUCGGCAAUCGUGAUAGAUUACUCUCGACAAUUUCACCAUGUAUUACGAAAGAUCUUAAUGAGAAAUUAAUGGUGGAAUUUAAAGUAAAAGAGGUUGUUGAGGCAACAAAAACCAUAGCUUCUCUUAAGGCAUCAGGCAAUGAUGGCUUUCCUGCAAUAUUCUUUCAAAGGUAUUGGCAUGUAGUAGGGGAUGAAGUUACUAGGUAUUGUUUGGAUGCGCUAAAUGGUCGAAGGAACAUAGAGGAUGUGAACCAUACAAAUAUUGUUUUUAUCCCUAAGGUGAAUUUGUCGAAGUCUAUGAGUUAAUUUCGACUUAUUAGCCUUUUGUAAUGUGAUUUAUAAAAUUAUCUCAAAAGUGUUAGUCAACAGGUUUUGUUAGGUGCUUAACUAUUGUAUAGAUGAUACCCAAGGGGCGUUCGUACCAGGAAGGCAAAUCAUAGACAAUAUUUUUUUGGCAUAUGAAAUUUUGCACUCAUUCAAGAGAAAAAGAGGGACUUCGAAUAGAGGCUUUGCUUUAAAACUCGAUAUGAGCAAAACAUAUGACAGGGUCGAGUAGUAUUUUUUAGAGAAAAUGAUGCAAAGAAUGGGUUAUUUUCAGGAGUGGAUUUCACUUAUAAUGAGGUGUAUCACUAGUGUUUUGUAUACUGUGGUGAUUAAUAGAACACAUAGGGAAGAGUUUCGGCCUACAAGAGAUUUAAGGCAUGGAGAUCCCCUAAGCCCGUAUUUGUUUCUCAUUUAUGGUAAGGAUUCUUAUGAUUACUUGACAUGGCCAGGAAUGAGGGGAGGCUCUUUGGGACAAAGGUGGGAAGAAAUGGUAUUUCGGUGACACAUUUAUUUUUUUGCUAAUGAUAGUGUGUUGUUUGGAGAGGCAUCGACUGACGGUGCAAACAUUAUGAAAAGCGUGAUCAAUGAGUCUGAAACGGUGUCGCGAUAAUUGGUCAACUUCGACAAGUCCCUAAUCUAUUUCAGUGGUAAUGUUGAAUAAGAAAUACAAGAACAUGUGGGGAGAAUUUUGGGAGUGCGGAUUUCUAAUAAUCUAGAGAGGUAUUUGGAAUUGCCAACUAUAGUUGGACAUAGGAAAAAGCAUGCUUUUGUUGGAAUUAAAGAACACUUUGUUAAGCUGAUGAAUAACUAGAGUGUGCGCUAUUUAUCGACUGAGGGUAAUGAGGUAUUUUUAAAUUCCAUUUUACAAGCUAUAUCGAUCUACGCGAUGCAAUGUUUUAAGCUACUAGUUUGUUUUUAUCGUGAACUUGACAACAUAAUGUGCAAGUUUUGGUAACGUAGCUCCAAAACCAACAAAGGCAUUCAUUGGUGCAAGUGGAGUGAUAUGUGUAUCCCCAAAACGAAGGGAGGGUUGGGUUUUAAAGAGCUAUUAACGUUUAAUAUGGCCCUGUUGACGAAGCAGGGGUAGAAAAUUAUUACACAGCCUAAUAGUUUAUUUGCACGCGUCAUGAAAGCAAAAUACUUCCCAAUGGGGGACUUUAUGAGUCUAGGAUUAGGUUCUUACCCUUCGUAUACCUGGCGAAGUAUUUGGGAAGCUAGAGGACUCAUUGAGGAGGGGGUUGGAUAGAGAAUCAGAGACGGCAAUGCAGUAAAUAUUUGGACUGAUGCAUGGUUGCUGGGGCCUGAAAAUGGUAGGGUACAAUGUCAGCAUAUUGAUAUCCGGUAUUCUGAGGUGUCAGAUUUAAUUGAAAGGGAAUCUAUUACUUGGAAGCAAGAUAUUAUUUG